GCCCUUCUUCUUUUUGCGUUUUCGUAGAUGGAUGGUUAGAGACCCUCUUAGUCAGUAGUGCCUGCAUUUUGCUAGCUUGAAACAAUGACUCAAUGUGCCAUCUUGGUGACGAUCUUAAGACUCUAGAACUCAGAGCUGUAGUUAAGUAGGUUAUCUAUCACUGGCAGCUUUUGGCAAGUUGUGCUGUGCCCAUGCAACAACAUUUCUACUCUCACUGCAUCAUCCGGUUUGUGAGAGGACAGUGGAUGGUAAUGGAUUGAAAUUUGGUGGAUUUUCUGUUGAGAUGUGCUUGGGUAAUGCAGAUGAUUGUGAUGAUGAUAUGCAAUUUGUUUGGGCCUUCCUUACGUUUACAUGAUAUAUAUAUAGUAAUGCUUCCUUUAACUUUUCUAUAAAAAAUAAAGUUUUUUUGUUGCUGGGACAGAGUUUUAACCACACGAUCUUUGAUCCAAUGGCAAGGAUCCCUAAACCGCCUCUCCCACCGUCGCCGCGCUAAUGACCCAAAACAAUUUGCUCGCCCCCAUGCCUCUCCUUCAUACUAGUCGUGAGAGAGCCUGCUUGCCCUGCUUUUCUUCCCAUCUUUGGCGACGAUGUUGUGCUCCCAUCUGUUGUCACCGUGAAAUAAUGUGUUCCCAUACUUUGAGCAUUGAUACGCUCAACAAUAUACAAGAUGUAUGUCAUAUAAAGUACACCGUAAAAUUCAUAUUUUAAAUUGGUUUGUAACUCAUACAUUUGUGUCUUUUGAGGUGGAAUUUGUGAGUUAGCACGUCCGGUGAAAAGGGGGGCAAUAACAGGAUUUUGAUAACCAAAAUGCUCGCUGGGAGAGCAUUGUAAAUUGAGCAUUUUCCAUGGCAAUGCAUAUUGUUUGAGGAUGGCAAAUUUUCUUAGCAAGGAUGAGAGCACAAUCGAAUGUUUUCCAAAAGAAAGGGAAGUGUUAAAAAUCCAACGUUUGAUAGGUAAGCAUCAGGACUUGAACCCUAAUGGGCUGGGGCUACUACUAUCCCUCUAACCAUCCAACCACAGGUUGGUUCACUUGAGUAUGGUAUGUUGUUUGUAGUAUUUAUUCAAUCGAAGAGUAUGUACGUGUAGUAUGUAGUAUAUAAGAAUGUUUAGAGCAACUCUAGCACACCCCGCAAAAUAACCACCAAAAUACGGGUCGGUGCGGAAAAUCCCGCUCGAACAGACCCCGCAAACGUGGCCGGCCCGCAAAAGAAUUUGAGGGCCGUGGCAAAAUCUCGGUGUAAGGGCAUAUUUAUCCCUUAGUAGUUUUGGUGAUUGAUGACAAUGCUUUUGCAGACUAAUCAUGUGCAUUGAGCAUUUCAGAUAUAUCAUGUCUAGGCACAAGACGAUUUAAUGCCCCUCAAAGACUAUUGAAGACGGCGUUUCUCUACGUUUCUUUUCGGUGGUUUGAGUUGUAGAAAAGCCGUACUAUUAAGAGUGGGUCCGUGUUGGAAAGGUUUGGGUGGAAUCAACAUGUACACGUCUGUUCCUUUUGCACCACCUUUUCUUUGGCUCUUUGGAGCAUCCUCCGUUUCUCCGAAUCUCUACAAAAGGAAAGACUUCUAGUGAUGUUGAACUGGGGCAUGCGGUAGUACUGCUCCUCAGAGCGGUAGUACCACAGGCCCCUGCGGUAGUACCGGCCAUGGGCGCGGUAGUACCGCAGGUGCUCACGGUAGUACCGCUUCUCUGACGUGGUAGUACCGUGGCCUCAGGUCUGGCUCAGCAGCACGAGCGGAAGUAGGGGCGGAUGUAAUUUUUUUACAUCCGCGCCCUACGCGGUAGUACCGCUCCUGGCUUGCGGUACUACCGUGUCGGAUUUUUGCAUAGAUCUAAACUCAGCGGAAGUUGCCACGGAUGUAUUUUUAUAUGUCCGUGCCUUCCCAAAUCUGGACUAUCCCUGCCUUGCGAUAGUACCGCAAGGGGGAGCGGUAGUACCGCGCCAGCGGUUCUACCACCCUCUGCUUCAUCGCAUCAGGGCUGUUUUGGAUACUGCUGCGUGGGCGGUAGUACUGCAGUGCCUUGCGGUAGUACCGUGGGCUCUGGCGGUACCGCGUCUCCGGUGCAGUAGUACCGUGCGUCGCAGGCUAAGUUAGUGGAUAACAGUUGGAUUUUUCCUUCCACUAUAAAAGGGGAGUCUUCUUCUCCGAGUUGACUUACCUCUUCAACCCCAAGCUCCAUUGUUGCUCUAAGCUCCAUUUUCGCACGAUCUCUCUCCCUAGCCAAUCAAACUUGUUGAUCUCCUAGGGAUUGGUUGAGAAGGCCUCGAUCUACACAUCCACCAAGAGAAAUUUGAUCCCCCCCCAGUAAUCCCGCACAGAUCUUGUUACUCUUGGGUGUUUGAACACCCUAGACGGUUGAGGUCAUCGUGGAGCCAUACUUCAUUGUGGUGAAGCUUCGUGGUGUUGUUAGGAGCCUCCAAUUAAGUUGUGGAGAUUGCCCCAAACUUGUUUGUAAAGGUUCGGUCGUCGCCUUCCAGGGCACCAAUAGUGGAAUCACGACAUCUCGCAUUGUUAGAGGGCGUGAGGAGAAUACGGUGGCCCUAGUGACUUCUUGGGGAGCAUUGUGCCUCCACACCAAGGUAGUCAGAGUCGGGAUUCGGAGUCGGAUCAGUUUUCCUCAGACAGAAUCGAGUCGUAAGAUCGAGUCAUGGAAUCGAGGACUCUACUAGAUUUACUCAAAUAAGAUAUUUUGUAUGCACACAAGAAAUUUAUAUGGGUUCUAUAGAGUUUUGACACUAAAUAUGGAGCAAAGAACACACACAUCAAUGCUAGUUGUAUUCCACUUCUUUUUAUGGCUAACCUACCAUGUAGCUCGCAUGUAUGGAACAUAUAUGAGAGGGAAAUAUAUAUAACAUUUAAACCUUCAAUGCACGAAAUUUACUAAUGUUCUUUUUAGAGUGCGUGAAUAGUCGGUCACUUGUUUAUCUGACCUACAAUGCUAAACCUUGAAGGGUCUUGCUCUCCUUUUCUGAUCAAUCUUGAAGCAUCCUCCUUUUCACGCUAAUUCCAUAUGUCGACAAGCCUGACCCUCAAUUUCGAUCUAGGGUUUCUAAGAGCUUGAUCAAAGGUGUCCAUGGCUGAGUGGUUGGACUUGGGAGGGGAAUAAAGGUCCAUGAGGUAUAUGAAAAGGGGUUUGGAUGAUGGCAUACUAUUUUGCUACAACUAAACAAACGGCUUAGAUAAGUUAGUAGAAUCGGAUGUAGUCCAUAGCAUAGUCGGGAUUGUACAGUUUUGUAUAGGAUUCUAUGAUUUGGAUCGCGACUCAACAUGGAUUCUACCUGAUCCGGAUUCAUAGUGGGAUUUGGAUCGACAUGCUUCCAUAGGGCCGUGAAGUCGUAGGAUUCUAGCAGUCGAAUCAGGAUUCUGACUACCUUGCUCCACACCGCUCCAACGGGGACGUACUUCCUCUUAAAGGGAAGGAACUUCGGUAACACAUCCUCGUCUUCACUAGCUCCACUAUUGGUUAUCUCAUCCCUUUACUCGUGCAAGCUCAUCUUGUGUUACAUCCCUUGCUUGCUUGUGUACUUAUUGUUGUGGCAUCAUAUAGGUUUCUCACCUAGUUGCAUAUCUAGACAACCUACUUUGCUGCAAAGUUUAAAUUGGUAAAGAAAAGCUAAAAAUUGUUAGUUGCCUAUUCACCCCCCUAUAGUCAACUAUAUCGAUCCUGUCAAUUAGUAUCAGAGCCUCGUCUCUUUAUUAAGGACUUUGCCGUCCGAAGAGUAUGGUUGACACCGUAGACGGUGAGGAGGAGCACCCCGGUGUGAUUUUGUCCUCAUCUACGGCCGAUGGUGGAACCUCGAUCUCACGUGAGGAGCUCAUUGUGGCCUUGGACACAUUUAAAACCUGCAUGAAGGCCAAGGUCAAAGGCGUGCUUAAAAACUUUCUUGAUGGUCUUAAAUUCUCCACCGCACCGUUGGAAGUGGUCGAUCCCACUAACAAGGUGACAGAUGCUAAUUCCGACAAGGGGAAGCUUCUAGUGAUAAAGUUCCUUUGUCUAGUGGUAAAAGUGGUAAUGGCAUCUUUGCCCAUGUGGAAUCUCCACUUACCUAUGGAGGACCGAUUCCCUCCACUCAUUUAAAUCAUGCCGGUUCUCCUCCUAAGAUUGUGAAAAAUGUGGAUUUUGACGCUUGGGUCUAUCGCUUUAAACGUCAUUUAAAUCAUGUUAGUACUAACCUUUGGAGAAUCAUUGAGCAAUGUUUCUAUCCGCAUGACCCAAGCAACUUCACCCCAAGAGAAGUCGCGGAUCAUCAAUUCAACGAGAAUGCUCUCUUCAUCAUCCAAGAUGCAAUCCCUCCCUGAUAACGCACAAGUAUAGGGGAUCACAAUAGUUUUUGAGGGUAGAGUAGUCAACCCAAAUUUAUUGAUUCGACUCAAGGGGAGCCAAAGAAUAUUCUCAAGUAUUAACAGUUGAGUUGUCAAUUCAACUGCACCUGAAAGACUUAAUAUCUGCAGCAAAGUAUUUAGUAGCAAAGUAAUAUGGAAGUAACGAUAACGGUGGCAAAAGUAAUAGUAUUGGUUUUGUAGUGAUUGUAACAGUGGCAACGGAACAGUAACUAAGCGAAGAUCAAUAUAUGAAAAGCUCGUAGGCAAUGGAUCAGUGAUGGAUAAUUAUGUCGGAUGCGAUUCCUCAUGCAAUAGUUAUAACAUAGGGUGACAUAGAACUAGCUCCAGUUCAUCAAUGUAAUGUAGGCAUGUAUUCCGAAUAUAGUCAUACGUGCUUAUGGAAAAGAACUUGCAUGACAUCUUUUGUCCUACCCUCCCGUGGUAGCGGGGUCCUAUUGGAAACUAAGGGAUAUUAAGGCCUCCUUUUAAUAGAGUACCGGACCCGAGCAUUAACACUUAGUGAAUACAUGAACUCCUCAAACUACGAUCAUCACCGGUAAGUAUCCCGAUUAUUGUCACUUCGGGGUUAACGGAUCAUAACACAUAAUAGGUGACUAUAGACUUGCAAGAUAGGAUCAAGAACUCACAUAUAUUCAUGGAAACAUAAUAGGUUCAGAUCUGAAAUCAUGGCACUCGGGCUCUAGUGACAAGCAUUAAGCAUAGAAAAGUCAUAGCAACAUCAAUCUCAGAACAUAAUGGAAACUAGGGAUCAAACCCUAACAAAACUAACUUGAUUACAUGAUAAAUUUCAUCCAACCCAUCACCGUCCAGCAAGCCUACGAUGGAAUUACUCACGCGCGGCGGUGAGCAUCAUGAAAUUGGUGAUGGAGGAAGGUUGAUGAUGACGAUGGCGACGAAUUCCCCUCUCCGGAGCCCCGAACGGACUCCAGAUCAGCCCUCCCGAGAGAGAUUAGGGCUUGGCGGUGGCUCCGUAUCGUAAAACGCGAUGAAUCCUUCUCUCUGAUUUUUUUUCUCCCCGAACAUGAAUAUAUAGAGUUGGAGUUGAGGUCGGUGGAGCCUCAGGGGGCCCACAAGAUAGGGGGCUCGCCCCGAGGGGUUGGCGCGCCCCCACCCUCGUGGACAGGGUGUGGCCCCCUGGUGUUGAUUCUUUCGCCAGUAUAUUUUAUAUAUUCCAAAAAUAUUCUCCGUGAAGUUUCAGGUCAUUCCGAGAACUUUUAUUUCUGCACAAAAAUAACACCAUGUUAAUUCUGUUGAAAAACGCGUCAGUCCGGGUUAGUUCCAUUCAAAUCAUGCAAGUUAGAGUCCAAAACAAGGUCAAAAGUGUUUGGAAAAGUAGAUACGAUGGAGACGUAUCAACUCCCCAAGCUUAAACCUUUGCUUGUCCUCAAGCAAUUCAGUUGACAAACUGAAAGUGAUAAAGAAAAACUUUUACAAACUCUAUUUGAUCUUGUUGUUGUAAACAUGUAAAGCCAGCAUUCAAGUUUUCGGCAAAGAUUAUGAACUAACCAUAUUCACAAUAACAAUUAGGUCUCAUGUUUACUCAUAUCAAUGGCAUAAUCAACUAGCGAGCAAUAAUAGUAAAUCUCGGAUGACAACACCUUCUCAAAACAAUCAUAAUAUGAUAUAACAAGAUGGUAUCUCGCUAGCCCUUUCUGAGACCGCAAAACAUAAAUGCAGAGCACCUCUGAAGUUCAAGGACUGACUAAACAUUGUAAUUCAUGGUAAAAGAGAUCCAGUCACAGUCAUACUCAAUGUAAACUAAUAGUAAUGCAUGCAAAUGACAUGGGUGCUCUCCAACUGGUUUUAUUUUGAGUGUAUGAACAUAGAAGGUUUUAUUCAUGUAAAUAGAACAACAAUUAUUCUUUGACUUAAAUGAAUAAUCGUAUUGCAAUAAACAUGAUCCAAUCAUAUUCAUGCUCAACGCAAACACCAAAUAACAUUUAUUCUAGGUUCAACACUAAUCCCGAAGGUAAAGGGGGUGUGCGAUGGUGAUCUUAUCUACCUUGGAAUCACUUCCAACACACAUCAUCACCUUGCCCUUAACUAGUCUCUGUUUAUUUUGCAAAUCCCGUUUCGAGUUACUACUCUUUAGCAGCUGAACCAGUAUUAAAUACCGAGGGGUUGCUAUAAACACUAGUAAAGUACACAUCAAUAACAUGUAUAUCCAAUAUACCUUUGUUCAGUAUGCCAUCCUUCUUAUCCGCCAAGUAUCUAGGGCAGUUCCACUUCCAGUGACCAUUUCCUUUGCAGUAGCAGCAGUCAGUUCAGGCUUGGGUCUAGCUUUGGGAUUCUUCAUGGGAGUGGCAACUUGCUUGCCAUUCUUCUUGAAGUUCCCUUUCUUUCCCUUGCCCUUUUACUUGAAACUAGUGGUCUUGUUAACCAUCAACACUUGAUGCUUUUCUUGAUUUCUACCUUUACCGAUUUUAGCACCGCGAAGAGCUUGGGAAUUGUUUUUGUUAUCCCUUGCAUAUUAUAGUUCAUCACGAAGUUCUAGUAACUUGGUGAUAGUGACUAGAGAACUUUGUCAAUUACUAUCUUAUCUGGAAGAUUAACUCCCACUUGAUUCAAGCAAUUGUAGUACUCAGACAUUCUAAGCACAUGCUCACUGGUUGAGCUAUUCUCCUACAUCUUGUAGGCAAAGUACUCGUCAGAGGUCUCAUACCUCUUGACUCGGGCAUGAGUCUGAAAUACCAAUUUCAGCUCUUAGAACAUCUCAUAUGCUCCGUGACAUUUCAAAACAUUUUUGAAGUCCCGGUUCUAAGCCGUAAAGCAUGGUGCACUAAACUAUCAAGUAGCCAUCAUACUGAGCUUUGCCAAACGUUCAUAACGUCUGCAUCUGCUCCUGCAAUAGGUCCAUCACCUAGCGGUGCAUCAAGGACAUAAUUCUUCUAUGCAGCAAUGAGGAUAAACCUCAUAUCACGGACCUAGUCCGCAUCAUUGCUACUAUCAUCUUUCAACUUAUUUUUCUCUAGGAACAUAUAAAAAAUAAAUGAGGAGCUACAUCGCGAGCUAUUGAUCUGCAACAUAGUUAUGCAAAUACUAUCAGGACUAAGUUCAUGAUAAAUUAAAGUUCAAUUAAUAAAAUUACUUAAGAACUCCCACUUAUAUAGACAUCUCUCUAACCAUCUAAGUGAUCACGUGAUCCAUAUCAACUAAACCAUGUCCGAUCAUCACGUGAGAUGGAGUAGUUUUCAAUGGUGAACAUCCUAUGUUGAUCAUAUCUACUAUAUGAUUCAUGCUCGACCUUUCGGUCUCAGUGUUCCGAGGCCAUAUCUGCAUAUGCUAGGCUCGUCAAGUUUAACCCGAGUAUUCCGCGUGUGCAAAACUGGCUUGCACCCGUUGUAUGUGAACGUAGAGCUUAUCACUCCCGAUCAUCACGUGGUGUCUCGACACGAUGAACUGUUGUCGCAACGGUGCAUACUCAGGGAGAAUACUUAUACCUUAAAUUUAGUGAGAGAUCAUCUUAUAAUGCUACCGCCGAACUAAGCAAAAUAAGAUGCAUAAAGGAUAAACAUCACAUGCAAUCAAUAUAAGUGAUAUGAUAUGGCCAUCAUCAUCUUGUGCCUUUGAUCUCCAUCUCCAAAGCACCGUCAUGAUCACCAUCAUCACCGGCUUGACACCUUGAUCUCCAUCGAAGCAUGGUUGUCGUCUCGCGAACUAUUGCUUCUAUGACUGUCGCUACUGCUUAGUGAUAAAGUAAAGCAAUUACAUGGCGAUUGCAUUUCAUACAAUAAAGCAACAACCAUAUGGCUCCUGCCAGUUGCCGAUAACUGUGUUACAAAACACGAUCAUCUCAAACAAUAAAAUUUAGCAUCAUGUCUUGACCAUAUCACAUCACAACAUGCCCUGCAAAAACAAGUUAGACGUCCUCUACUUUGUUGUUGCAAGUUUUACGUGGCUGCUACGGGCUGAGCAAGAACCGUUCUUACCUACGCAUCAAAAACCACAACGCAAUAUAGUGAUUGCUUUUUGAUCUUCGAAAGAACCCUAUUCAUUGAAUCCGAUUGAACUAAAGUUGGAGAAACUGACACCCACCAGCCACCUGUGUGCGAAGCACGUCAGUAGAACUAGUCUCGCGUAAGCGUAUGCGUAAUGUCGGUCUGGGCCGCUUCAUCCAACAAUGCCGCUGAAGCACUUUGUUGCUCUCUUGGAACAACUUGGUGAGGCCAAUGACAUGAUCAAGGCUCACGAAGACACCAUCUCUAAGAUGGAGGGGCAUAGUCGUGACUAUGCCAAUGAGAUAUCGGAUCUCUCUAAUGCUCGUGAGGAAGAGUGUGGUCAUCGCUUGGCUCUUGAGGAGUCACACAACGAUGACCAUGCUAAAUUAAAGAAAGAUCUUGAUCAUGCUCUUGUUGUGUCUCGUGUGCUAAAUUCCGAGAAGGUUAAACUUGGUGCUAAUCUUGCUAGACUCAAGGAGGAGUUUGAUAUACUUGACAAGGCUCACAAGGCCUUGAAGAGUACUCAUGCUAGUCUUAAAGAGUCUCAUGAUCAACUCCAAGUGAGGCUAACCAAAGAGAAAGCCACUUUUCCUCAUAUGGUUUUAAUUGAUAAUGCAAAUGCUACUAACCCUUGUUGUGAGCAUGUGCAUCUUGUUGAGGAGAAUGCAAAGUUGAAGGAGCAACUUGAGAAAUGCCUUGUGUCGUGCAUACAAGGUGAGAAGAACCUCAACGAUCUUUUGAGCAAUCAAAAGGAAGUUGUGGCCAAGGAAGGGAUUGGGUUCGCAACCAAGUCCAAGAACAAGAAGAAGAAUGACAAGGCCAAAUGACCUCCUCCACUCAUGCAAACUUUUAUCAAAGAGGGAGAGGGUGCCUCUAAGGAGAAGGAGAACAAUGUGAAGGGUGGUGGUGUCAAGAAGGGCAAUGCCACCCCUUCCAACAAAGCCGGCGACUUUAACCCUUCCUAUGUGAUAUGCCAUGCUAGUGAUGGACAUGUCUAUGCUAAAUUUGUUGGUUCUCCUUAUGAGUACAUUGAAUGGUAUAUUUGGGUUCCUAAGACCCUUGUCACUAACAUCAAAGGACCCAUUACAAAAUGGGUACCUAAAAAACCAAGCAUUGAUCUCUUGUAGGUGUUUUCUUCUGGUGGGGGAUCAUGGUUGCUCGAUAGUGGAGCUACUAAUCAUAUGACCGGAAGCAAGGACUUGGUGGUGGACGUGCAAAAGAUUCCAUCUAUGCCCACCAAUGUAGAGUGGGGUGAUGCCUCGUCCUCUAAGGUAUUGGGGCUUGGCAAGGUUGUCAUUUCUCAUGAUCUCACGAUCGAGAAGGUCAUGCUUGUUGAGUCCCUUGCAUACAAUUUACUUUUCGUUCGUCAACUUGCAAUCAUGGGCUUUGCCACUUUCUUUGAUAUUUAUACCGUGGCCCUCUUGUGGAGGAAUACUCUUAAAGUAGCCUUUGUUGGGCAUGUCGAGAACGGUCUCUAUGUGAUUAACUUUUCGAAGCGACCCACUAAGACCGCGACAUGCCUAAUGGCUAAAGUUGACGUGGGAUGGCUUUGGCAUCGCCGUUUAGCCCAUGUCAAUAUGAGAUCUUUGUAAAGUCUUCUCAAGGGGGACCAUAUCCGUGGACUAACAAAUGUUAGUUUUGUCAAAGAUCGUGCUUGCAGUGCUUGCAUUGAAGGAAAGCUACAUGAGAAGGCUCACCCUCCCACGACUAUCAUUUACUCAAAGAUGCAUCUGGAGCUCCUUCACUUGGAUCUCUUUGGGCCUCCAUCCUUUGAUAGCCUUGGGGGUGGAAAGUAUUGCUAGGUGAUUGUCGAUGACUAUUCAAGAUACACUUGGGUGUACUUAUUCAAGAGGAAGAGUGAGACCCAACAAACCGUCAUUGACUUUGCAAAUGAAGCUCAACGUCAACACAAUGCAAAGAUCUUGACAAUAAGAAGUGACAACGACACUGAGUUCAAGAACUACACCUUGGAUGAGUUUCUUAGUGAUGAGGGGAUCAAACAUCAAUAUUCCGCACCUUACACCCCUCAACAAAAUGGUGUAGCGGAGGGGAAGAACCAGACGUUGAUGGAUGCGGCAAGGACCAUGAUGGCAGAGUUCAAGUGUCCAUACAACUUUUGGGCCGAAGGCAUCAACACCGCGUGUCAUGCAUCCAAUCGGCUCUAUCUCUGCAAAGGCUUAAACAAGACCCCAUAUGAGAUACUCACCGGUAACAAGCCCAACCUCAAGUACUUCCGGGUGUUCGGGUGUAAGUGUUUCAUCCUCAAGAAAGGUGUUCGCUUGUCUAAAUUCGAGGCUAGAGCUUAUGAGGGCAUAUUUGUUGGUUAUGCUACAAACUCUCAUGCUUACCGUGUCCUCAAUAAGUCCACGGGACUUAUUGAGGAGACGUGUAACAUGGAGUUUGAUGAGAAUAACGGCUCCCAAGUGGAGCAAAGUGUCACUUGUGAUGUAGGUGAUGAAAUUCCUCCCCAAGCCAUAAGAAGAAUGGGUGUUGGUUUUAUCCUACCCAUUGAGGAACCCCUUGUGGCCGAAGGAUAAGGACAAUGUUCCACUUAAGUGGAACCAUCUGUUGGGGAACACAGUAAUUUCAAAAAACUUCCUAUGCACAUGCAAGAUCAUGGUGAUGCAUAGUAACAAGAGGGGAGAGUAUCCUCUACGUACCCUUGUAGACCAUAAGCGGAAGCGUUAUGACAACGCGGUUGAUGUAGUCGUACGUCUUCACGGUCGACCGAUCUAGCAUCGAAGGUACGGCACCUCCGCGAUCUGCACAUGUUCGGCUCGGUGACGUCCCGCGAACUCACGAUCCAGUAGAGCUUCGAGGGAGAGCUUUGUCAACACGACGGCGUGAUGAUGGUGAUGAUGUUGCUACCGGAACAGGGCUUCUCCUAAGAACCACUAUGGUAUUACCGAGGUGGAUUAUGGUGGAGGGGGGCACCGCACAGGGCUAAAAGAUCAAUGAUCAACUUGUGUGUCUAUGGGGUGCCCCCUCCCCCGUAUAUAAAGGAGUGGAGGAGGGGGAGAGCCGGCCCUCCUAUGGCGCGCCCCAUGGGAAGUCCUACUCCCACUGGGAGUAGGAUUCCCCCUUUCCAUGUAGUAGGAGUAGGAGAAGGAAGGAGGAAAGAGGGAGAAGGAAAGGGGGUGUCGCCCCCCUUCCUAGUCCAAUUCAUACUAGAGGGGAAGGGGGCGCGCGACCUGCCCUGGCAGCCCCUCUCUCUUUGCACUAAGGCCCAUUAAACUCCCCGAGGGGUUCCGGUAACCCCCUGGUACUCCGGUAUAUGCCCGAACUUCACUCGGAACCCUUCCGAUGUCCAAACAUAGUCGUCCAAUAUAUCGAUCUUUCACUAGUAGAAAAAGGGCCAUUUGUCCCGGUUCGUAAGGGCCUUCUGUCCCGGUUUUGGAACCGGGACUAAAAGGUCGUUACUAAUGCCUUUGGCCUUUAGUCCCGGUUCUUACACGAACCGGGACAGAUGGGCCUCCACGUGGCCGCUGCGGCUAGCCCAGGUAGGGGGGCUUUGGUCCCGGUUGGUGACACCAACCGGGACCAAAAGGCAUCCACGCGUUAGCAGCUGGCUGGAGCUGAGGUUUUUGUUUUUUUGAAAGGGGCUGGUUUAGGGGUUUUGGGGGUUAAUUUAGGUUGUUAUUAGCUCGCUAAUAGAGAGAAGUGUCCUCUCUCUUAUAUCUUCGUGCUUGGUUUACCAACGCUACUGGUAUGCCUAAACAUGGCUUAGAUUGAAGUGAAGGCAACAUGUGGUGCAUGUCGAAAGUAAUACUAAUCCUAACUUGAUCAAGUUUGGAUUGUACUACUUUCGACAUGCACCACAUGCAUGUUGCCUUCACUUCAAUCCAAUCCAUGUUCAUUUCACCUGCUGAUAUAUAAUAACUUUUCAUGCUCGCAUCAUGCAUCAUCAUAUAUAAUAACAAGUCCUACUAAUCAUCAUCAUAUAACUUCUACUCGUUAUUAAUAACAAGUCAUAUGAUCAUCAUCCUCAUAGUCAUCGAACCAGCCCUACUUAAUUGUUCUUAGCACAUGAUCAUCAGUAUUAGGUAGGACCUAAAUACCCUCUUUAAGGUAAAAUAGCAUAAAACAAUAUAGACCCUGACUCUCCAUUAUGGAGAAUGGAGAUCAUCCUGUCUCCAAUUCUUGCGCUUCACUUCCUUUUGCUUCCAAGAACCUCCUUAUGACUGUCCAUACAUUUUUUCCAUCCUUUGAUUAGCAUGUCUCCACUUCUUUGAGAAAUCCGGUAUGGACAGCUGAGAUUCAUAGGAUGACCUGGAUGUAUGUUCAAAACACGAAGGCUUCCAUUCUGAUACAUCAAAUGAGGCACACAAUCCAUCGGGAUUCUCUGUUGGAAAACAUAGUAAUAACUUCAUAGUUAGCAAUGAUGUACUAGUUUUAGAAGUAUGCAAAAGAUGCACGGAUGUCGUAAUAGUAAAAAAUAUUACCAGGGUAUCUCCAUGGUAGUUACCGUAGUUUAACACGUGCACUAGUGGCACGUAUUGACCAUAAUGUCGAGGAGUUUUAUUGUAGAUAUUGUAAUUAUCAAUAUCAGUACAAAAUCCAACCAGAUGAUUUUUCUCCUGAUAAGUUAAUUCGGAGCCACCGGUGUAGUGGGUUUUGUCUACCAUCUUUCGCACGUUCUUUGAAGAAUGAAAAUAAGCUGUCAAUGGAAAUAAGUUGUCAACUAUUUUGAAAUAAACAAUAUAAAUUAGUUAAUAACUAUAUUUGAGAAACUCACAUAGCGGUAGAACUGGAAGCGUAUCAACAAGGACCCAAAUGUCCAUAUUGUCUUGGUCGAUGUCAGGAUCACCAAGAUCCAUGGUUGUAAGCAUACCCUCAUGAAAACCAUACAUCUUGCAAAGUGCUUCCCAAUUUUUGCAACCAAAAUGGGUUACGCUCUCAGAAUUAUACAGAUUUACUUCAAAAUCCACAUCAUGAUGAGUCCUUAGGUGAAUUUUCUUUGUUUCAUAAUUUUCAUGGUCUUCAAAAUCCAUCCUCUCCAAGACAUAGCGUCUUGCAUGGCAUGGGAUAAGCUACUCGAAUUGUAAAAGAUGAAAAUUACACUUUGAAAUAGUUGAUGUCAUGCUUAAUUACGAAAAAAGACUUGUCGUCUUUUGAUGACCCACAAGUAUAGGGAAUCUAUCGUAGUUCUUUCGAUAAGUAAGAGUGUCGAACCCAACGAGGAGCAGAAGGAAAUGAUAAGCGGUUUCCAGCAAGGUAUUCUCUGCAAGUACUGAAAUAAGUGGUAACAGAUAGUUUUGUGAUAGGAUAAUUUGUAACGAGUAACAAAUAACAAAAGUAAAUAAAGUGCAGCAAGGUGGCCCAAUCCUUUUUGUAGCAAAGGACAAGCCUGGACAAACUCUUAUAUAGAGAAAAGCGCUCCCGAGGACACAUGGGAAUAUCGUCAAGCUAGUUUUCAUCACGUUCAUAUGAUUCGCGUUCAGUACUUUGAUAAUUUGGUAUGUGGGUGGACCGGUGCUUGGGUACUGUCCUUACUUGGACAAGCAUCCCACUUAUGAUUAACCUCUAUUGCAAGCAUCCGCAAAUACAACAAAAGUAUUAAGGUAAACCUAACCAUAGCAUGAAACAUAUGGAUCCAAAUCAUCCCCUUACGAAGCAACGCAUAAACUAGGGUUUAAGCUUCUGUCACUCUAGCAACCCAUCAUCUACUUAUUACUUCCCAAUGCCUUCCUCUAGGCCCAAAUAAUGGUGAAGUGUUAUGUAGUCGACGUUCACAUAACACCACUAGAGGAGAGACAACAUACAUCUCAUCAAAAUAUCGAACGAAUACCAAAUUCACAUGACUACUAAUAGCAAGACUUCUCCCAUGUCCUCAGGAACAAACGUAACUACUCACAAAGCAUAUUCAUGUUCAUAAUCAGAGGGGUAUUAAUAUGCAUAUAGGAUCUGAACAUAUGAUCUUCCACCAAAUAAACCAACUAGCAUCAACUACAAGGAGUAAUUAACACUACUAGCAACCUACUAGUACCAAUCCCAGACUUGGAGACAAGAAUUGGAUACAAGAGAUGAACUAGGGUUUUGAGAGGAGAUGGUGCUGGUGAAGAUGUUGAUGGAGAUUGCCCUCUCCCGAUGAGAGGAGUGUUGGUGAUGACGAUGGCGAUGAUUUCCCCCUCCCGGAGGGAAGUUUCCCCGGCAGAACAGCUCCGCCAGAGCCCUAGAUUGGUUCCGCCAAGGUUCCGCCUCAUGGUGGCGGAGUUUCGUCCGAGGAGAUGGCUUCUCAUUUUUUCCUCAUCGAAAGACUACAUAUAGCAGAAGAUGGCCAUCGGAGGGCCACCAGGGGGCCCACGAAGUAGGGGGGCGCGCCCCCACCCUCGUGGGUAGGGUGUGGCCCCCCUGGUGAACUUCUUGCGCUCAAUAUUUUUUUAUAUAUUCUGAAAACGUCUUCUGUGAAGUUUCAGGACUUUUGGAGCUGUGCAGAAUAGGUCUCUAAUAUUUGCUCCUUUUCCAGCCCAGAAUUCCAGCUGCCGGCAUUCUCCCUCUUUAUGUAAACCUUGUAAAAUAAGAGAGAAUAGGCAUAAGUAUUGUGACAUAAUGUGUAAUAACAGCCCAUAAUGCAAUAAAUAUCGAUAUAAAAGCAUGAUGAAAAAUGGACGUAUCAACUCCCCCAAGCUAAGACCUCGCUUGUCCUCAAGCGAAAGCCGAAAUCGGAAAAUAUGUCCACAUGUUUAGAGAUAGAGGUGUCGAUAAAAAUAAAAUACGGACAUGAGGGCAUCAUGAUCGUUCUUAGAACAUCAACUUAUAUAAUUCUUGUCAUAUGAUUUCUUAUGCUAGAGCAAUAAUUCAAUCACAAUUUCAAGUAUGAGUCGUAAACUUCAUUGAAAACUAACAAACUAUAAUCUCAGUCAUUGGAGCAAUUGCAAUUUAUCAUAACAUGGGAAAGAGUCAAUAUAUAAGAGCUUUUCAGCAAGUCCACAUACUCAACUAUCAUAUAGUCUUUCACAAUUGCCGACACUCACACAAUACUUAUGGGUAUGGAGUUUUAAUCGGACACAGAGAAAUAUAGGGGCUUAUAGUUUUGCCUCCCAACGUUUUACCGCAAGGGUAAUGUCUGUUGGGGAACGUAGUAAUUUCAAAAAAAUUCCUAAGCACACGCAAGAUCAUGGUGAUGCAUAGCAACGAGAGGGGAGAGUAUUGUCUACGUACCCUCAUAGACCGGCAACGGAAGUGUUGACACAACAUAGAGGAAGUAGUCGUACGUCUUCCCGAUCUGACCGAUCCAAGUACCAAACGUACAACACCUCCGAGUUUUGCACACGUUCGGCUCGAUGACGAUCCCCCGACUUCGGUCCAGCAAAGUGUCGAGGAAGAGUUCCGUCAGCACGACGGCGUGGUGAUGAUCUUGAUGUUCUACCGUCGCAGGGCUUCGCCUAAGCACCGCUACAAUAUUAUCGAGGAGUAUGGUGGAAGGGGGCACCGCACACGGCUAAGAAAACGAUCACGAGGAUCAACUUGUGUCUCCAUGGGGUGCCCCCUGCCCCCGUAUAUAAAGGAGCAAGGGGGAGGAGGCCGGCCCUAGGAGGGGCAUGCCAGGGGAGUAGGAUUCCUACUCCUAGUUGGAGUAGGUUUCCUCCUUUCCUAGUUCAACUAGGAGAAGGGGGGAAAGGGGGGAAGACGGGAAGGAAGGGAGAGAGGGGCCACGCCCCAAACCCCUUGUCCAAUUCGGACUGGGCUUGGGAGGGGCGCGCGCCACCUCCUGGUCCUUUCCACUAAGGCCCAUUGCUUCUUCCUCGUAUUCCCAUAACUCCCCGGUUCCUCCGAAAAUACCCGAAUCACUCGGAACCUUUCCGAUGUCCGAAUAUAGUCGUCCAAUAUAUCGAUCUUUACGUCUCGACCAUUUCGAGACUCCUCGUCAUGUCCCCGAUCUCAUCCGGGACUCCGAACUCCUUCGGUACAUCAAAACUCAUAAACUCAUAAUAUAACUGUCAUCGAAACCUUAAGCGUGCGGACCCUACGGGUUCGAGAACAAUGUAGACAUGACCGAGACAUGGCUCCGGUCAAUAACCAAUAGCGGAACCUGGAUGCCCAUAUUGGCUCCUACAUAUUCUACGAAGAUCUUUAUCGGUGAGACCGCAUAACAACUUACGUUGUUCCCUUUGUCAUCGGUAUGUUACUUGCCCGAGAUUCGAUCGUCGGUAUCUCAAUACCAAGUUCAAUCUCGUUACCGGCAAGUCUCUUUACUCGUUCCGUAAUACAUCAUCUCGCAACUAACUCAUUAGUUGCAAUGCUUGCAAGGCUUAUGUGAUGUGCAUUACCGAGAGGGCCCAGAGAUACCUCUCCGACAAUCGGAGUGACAAAUUCUAAUCUCGAAAUACGCCAACCCAACAUGUACCUUUGGAGAUACCUGUAGAGCUCCUUUAUAAUCACCCAGUUACGUUGUGACGUUUGGUGGCACACAAAGUGUUCCUCCGGUAAACGGGAGUUGCAUAAUCUCAUAGUCAUAGGAACAUGUAUAAGUCAUGAAGAAAGCAAUAGCAACAUACUAAACGAUCAAGUGCUAUGCUAACGGAAUGGGUCAAGUCAAUCAUAUCAUUCUCCUAAUGAUGUGAUCCCGUUAAUCAAAUGACAACUCAUGUCUAUGGUUAGGAAACAUAACCAUCUUUCAUCAACGAGCUAGUCAAGUAGAGGCAUACUAGUGACACUAUGUUUGUCUAGUAUUCACACAUGUAUUAUGUUUCCGGUUAAUACAAUUCUAGCAUGAAUAAUAAACAUUUAUCAUGAUAUAAGGAAAUAAAUAAUAACUUUAUUAUUGCCUCUAGGGCAUAUUUCCUUCAGUCUCCCACUUGCACUAGAGUCAAUAAUCUAGUUCACAUCGCCAUGUGAUUAACACUCAUAGUUCACAUCGAUAUGUGACCAACACCCAAAGGGUUUACUAGAGUCAAUAAUCUAGUUCACAUCGCUAUGUGAUUAACACCCAAAGAGUACUAAGGUGUGAUCAUGUUUUGCUUGUGAGAGAAGUUUAGUCAACGGGUCUGCCACAUUCAGAUCCGUACGUAUUUUGCAAAUUUCUAUGUCAACAAUGCUCUGCACGGAGCUACUCUAGCUAAUUGCUCCCACUUUCAAUAUGUAUCUAGAUCGAGACUUAGAGUCAUCCAGAUCUGUGUCAAAACUUGCAUCGACGUAACUUUUUACGACGAACCUUUUGUCACCUCCAUAAUUGAGAAAUAUUUCCUUAUUCCACUAAGGAUAAUUUUGACCGCUGUCCAGUGAUCUACUCUUAGAUCACUAUUGUACUCCCUUGCUUAACACAGUGUAGGGUAUACAAUAGAUCUGGUACACAGCAUGGCAUACUUUAUAGAACCUAUAGCUGAGGCAUAGGGAAUGACUUUCAUUCUCUUUCUAUCUUCUGCCGUGGUCGGGCUUUGAGUCUUACUCAAUUUCACACCUUGUAACAUAGCCAAGAACUCUUUCUUUGACUGUUCCAAUUUUUGAACCACUUCAAAAUAUUGUCAAGGUAUGUACUCAUUGAAAAAAAUUAUCAAGCGUCUUGAUCUAUCUCUAUAGAUCUUGAUGCUUAAUAUGUAAGCAGCUUCACUGAGGUCUUUCUUUGAAAAACUUCUUUCAAACACUCCUUUAUGCUUUGCAGAAUAAUUCUACAUUAUUUCCGAUCAACAAUAUGUCAUUCACAUAUACUUAUCAGAAAUGCUAUAGUGCUCCCACUCACUUUCUUGUAAAUACAGGCUUCACCGCAAGUCUAUAUAAAACUAUAUGCUUUGAUCAUCUCAUCAAAGCGCAUAUUCCAACUCCGAGAUGCUUGCACCAGUCCAUAUUUAAUAAAUCCAUUAAGGAAUGCAGUUUUUUUAUCCAUUUGCCAGAUUUCAUAAAAUGCGGCAAUUGCUAAUAUGAUUCGGACAUACUUAAGCAUAGAUACGAGUGAGAAACUCUCAUCGUAGUCAACACCUUGAACUUGUCGAAACCUUUUGCGACAAUUCUAGCUUUGUGGAUUGUAACACUACUAUCAGCGUCCGUCUUCCUCUUGAAGAUCCAUUUAUUUUCUAUGGUUUGCCGAUCAUCAGGCAAAUCCAUCAAAGUCCAUACUUUGUUCUCAUACAUGGAUCAUAUCUCAGAUUUCAUGGCCUCAAAACAUUUCGCGGAAUCUGGGCUCAUCAUCGCUUCCUCAUAGUUCGUAGGCUCGUCAUGGCCAAGUAACAUGACCUCUAGAACUGGAUUACCGUACCACUCUGGUGCGGAUCUCACUCUGGUUUUACCUACGAGGUUCGGUAGUAACUUGAUCCGAAGUUACAUGAUCAUCAUCAUUAGCUUCCUCACUAAUCGGUAUAGUAGUCACAGGAACAGAUUUCUGUGAUGAACUACUUUCCAAUAAGGUAGCAGGUACAGUUACCUCAUCAAGUUCUACUUUCCUCCCACUCACUUCUUUCGAGAGAAACUCCUUCUCUAGAAAGGAUCCAUUCUAAGCAACGAAUAUCUUGCCUUCGGAUCUGUGAUAGAAGGUGUACCCAACUGUCUCCUUUGGGUAUCCUAUGAAGACACAUUUCUCCGAUUUGGGUUUGAGCUUAUCAAGAUGAAACUUUUUCACAUAAGCAUCACAACCCCAAACUUUAAGAAACGACAACUUUGGUUUCUUGUUAAACCACAGUUCAUAUAGUGUCGUCUCAACGGAUUUAGAUGGUGCCCUAUUUAAAGUGAAUGCAGCUGCCUCUAAUGCAUAACCCCAAAAUGAUAGUGGUAAAUCGGUAAGAAACAUCAUAGAUUGCACUAUAUCCAAUAAAGUACGGUUAUGAUGUUCGGACACACCAUUAUGCUAUGGUGUUCCAGGUGGCAUGAGUUUGUGAAACUAUUCCACAUUGUUUUAAUUGAAGACCAAAUUCGUAACUCAAAUAUUCGUCUCUGCGAUUAGAUCGUAGAAACUUUAUUUUCUUGUCACGAUGAUUUUCCACUUCACUCUGAAAUUCUUUGAACUUUUCAAAUGUUUCAGACUUAUGUUUCAUCAAGUAGAUAUACCCAUAUCUGCUCAAAUCAUCUAUGAAGGUCAGAAAAUAAUGAUACCCACCGCGAGCCUUAACACUCAUCAGAUCGCAUACAUCAGUAUGUAUUAUUUCCAAUAAGUCAGUUGCUCGCUCCAUUGUUCCGGAGAACAGAGUCUUUAGUCAUCUUGCCCAUAAGGCAUGGUUCGCAAGCACCAAGUGAUUCAUAAUCAAGUGAUUCCAAAAUCCCAUCAGCAUGGAGUUUCUUCAAGCGCUUUACACCAAUAUGACCUAAAUGGCAGUGCCACAAAUAAGUUGCACUAUCAUUAUUAACUUUGCAUCUUUUGGUUUCAAUAUUAUGAAUAUGUGUAUCACUACGAUCGAGAUCCAAUGAACCAUUUUCAUUGGGUGUGUAACCAUAUAAGGCUUUAUUCAUGUAAAUAGAACAACAAUUUAUUCUCUUACUUAAAUGAAUAACCGUAUUACAAUAAACAUGAUCAAAUCAUAUUCAUGCUCAACGCAAACACCAAAUAACACUUAUUUAGGUUCAACACUAAUCCCGAAAGUAUAGGGAGUGUGCGAUGAUGAUCAUAUCAAUCUUGGAACCACUUCCAACACACAUCGUCACUUCACCCUUAGCUAGUCUCUGUUUAUCCUGCAACUCCCGUUUCGAGUUACUAAUCUUAGCAACUGAACUAGUAUCUAAUACUGAGGGGUUGCUAUAAACACUAGUAAAGUACACAUCAAUAACAUGUAUAUCAAAUAACUUAUGUUCACUUUGCCAUCCUUCUUAUCCGCCAAUCACUUGGGGUAGUUCCGCUUCCAGUGACCAGUCCCUUUGUAGUAGAAGCACUUAGUCUCAGGCUUAGGACCAGACUUGGGCUUCUUCACUUGAGCAGCAACUUGCUUGUUGUUCUUCUUGAAGUUCCCCUUUUUUCCUUUGCCCUUUUCUUGAAACUAGUGGUCUUGUCUACCAUCAACACUUGAUGUUUUUCUCGAUUUCUACCUUCGUCAAUUUCAGCAUUACGAAGAGCUUGGGAAUCAUUUCCGUUAUCCCUUGCAUAUCAUAGUUCAUCAUGAAGUUCUACUAACUUGGUGAUAGUGACUAGAGAAUUCUGUCAAUCACUAUUUUAUCUGGAAGAUUAACUCCCACUUGAUUCAAGCGAUUGUAGUACCCAGACAAUCUGAGCACAUGCUCACUAGUUGAGCGAUUCUCCUCCAUCUUUUGGCUAUAGAACUUGUUGGAGACUUCAUAUCUCUCAACUCGGGUAUUUGAUUGAAAUAUUAACUUCAACUCCUGGAACAUCUUAUAUGGUCCAUGACGUUCAAAACGACUUUGAAGUCCCGAUUCUAAGCCAUUAAGCAUGGUGCACUAAACUAUCAAGUAGUCAUCAUAUUGAGCUAGCCAAACGUUCAUAACGUCUGCAUCUGCUCCUGCAAUAGGUAUGUCACCUAGCGGUGCAUCAAGGACAUAAUUCUUCUGUGCAGCAAUGAGGAUAAACCUAAGAUCACGGAUCCAAUCCGCAUCAUUGCUACUAAUAUCUUUCAACACAAUUUUCUCUAGGAACAUAUCAAAAUAAACAUAUGAAAGCAACAAUGCGAGCUAUUGAUCUACAACAUAAUUUGCAAAAUACUACUAGGACUAAGUUCAUAAUAAAUUUAAGUUCAAUUAAUCAUAUUACUUAAGAACUCCCACUUAGAUAGACAUCCCUCUAAUCAUCUAAGUGAUCAUGUGAUCCAAAUCAACUAAACCAUGUCCGAUCAUCACGUGAGAUGGAGUAGUUUUCAAUGGUGAACAUCACUAUGUUGAUCAUAUCUACUAUAUGAUUCACGCUCGACCUUUCGGUCUCUAGUGUUCCGAGGCCAUAUCUGUAUAUGCUAGGCUCGUCAAGUUUAACCUGAGUAUUCCGCGUGUGCAACUGUUUUGCACCCGUUGUAUUUGAACGUAGAGCCUAUCACACCCGAUCAUCACGUGGUGUCUCAGCACGAAGAACUUUCGCAACGGUGCAUACUCAGGGAGAACACUUAUACCUUGAUAAUUUAGUGAGAGAUCAUCUUAUAAAGCUACCGUCAAUCAAAGCAAGAUAAGAUGCAUAAAAGAUAAACAUCACAUGCAAUCAAUAUAUGUGACAUGAUAUGGCCAUAAUCAUCUUGCGCCUUUGAUCUCCAUCUCCAAAGUACCAUCAUGAUCUCUAUCGUCACCGGCAUGACACCAUGAUCUCCAUCAUCUUGAUCUAUAUCAAUGUGUCAUCACAUGGUCGUCUCGCCAACUAUUGCUCUUGUAACUAUUGCUAUCGCACAGCGAUAAAGUAAAGCAAUUAUUUGGCGCUUGCAUCUUAUGCAAUAAAAGGACAACCAUAAGGCUUCUGCCAGUUGCCGAUAACUUCAACAAAACAUGAUCAUCUCAUACAAGAACUUAUAUCUCAUCACAUCUUGACCAUAUCACAUCACAACAUGCCCUGCAAAAACAAGUUAGACGUCCUCUACUUUGUUGUUGCAAAUUUUACGUGGCUGCUACGGGCUUAAGCAAGAACCAAUCUUACCUACGUAUCACUACGAUAGUUUGUCAAGUUGGUGCUGUUUUAACCUUCGCAAGGACCGGGCGUAGCCACACUCGGUUCAACUAAAGUUGGAGAAACUGACACCCGCCAGCCACCUGUGUGCAAAGCACGUCGGUAGAACCAGUCUCUCGUAAGCAAGGUUGUCAGAAUCGCGAUUCUGUUAUACGAUUCUACGACUUUACGAUCCAAACUAAUCCCUCUGAUUCUAUGAUUUUAGUUAAUAGAAUCUACGUUUUUACGAUCCUGAUAGUGAGGAUUCCACGAUUUGCGAUCCUACCAUCAGAGCUCCGAUAUGAUUCAAAAUCGUGAUUCUGACAACCUUGCGUGUAAGCGUACGCAUAAUGUCGGUCCGGGCCGCUUCAUCCAACAAUACCGCCAAACCAAAGUAUGACAUGCUGGUAAGAAGUAUGACUUAUAUCGCCCACAACUCACUUGUGUUCUACUCGUGCAUAUAACAUCAACACAUAAAACCUAGGCUCGGAUGCCACUGUUGGGGAACGUAGUAAUUUCAAAUUUCCUACGCACACGCAAGAUCAUGGUGAUGCAUAGCAACGAGAGGGGAGAGUAUUGUCUACGUACCCUCGUAGACCGGCAACGGAAGUGUUGACACAACGUAGAGGAAGUAGUCGUACGUCUUCCCGAUCCGACCGAUCCAAGUACUGAACGUACGGCACCUCCGAGUUCUGCACACGUUCAACUCGAUGACGAUCCCCGGACUUCGAUCCAGCAAAGUGUCGGGGAAGAGUUCCGUCAGCACGACGGCAUGGUGACGAUCUUGAUGUUCUACCGUCACAGGGCUUUGCCUAAGCACCGCUACAAUAUUAUCGAGGAGUAUAGUGGAAGGGGGCACCGCACACGGCUAAGAAAACGAUCACGAGGAUCAACUUGUGUCUCCAUGGGGUGCCCCCUGCCCCCGUAUAAAAAGGAGCAAGGGGGGAGGAGGCCGGCCCUAGGAGGGGCGCGCCAGGGGAGUAGGAUUCCUACUCCUAGUUGGAGUAGGUUUCCUACUUUCCUAGUCCAACUAGGAGAAGGGGGGAAAGGGGGGAAGAGGGGAAGGAAGGGAGAGAGGGGCCGCGCCCCAAACCCCUUGUCCAAUUCGGACUGGGCUUGGGAGGAGCGCGCGCCACCUCCUGGUCCUUUCCACUAAGGCCCAUUAAGGCCCAUUGCUUCUUCCUUGUAUUCCCGUAACUCCUCGGUUCCUCCGAAAAUACCCGAAUCACUCGGAACCUUUCCGAUGUCCGAAUAUAGUCGUCCAAUAUAUCGAUCUUUACGUCUCGGCCAUUUCAAGACUUCUCGUCAUGUCCAUGAUCUCAUCCGGGACUCCGAACUCCUUCGGUACAUCAAAACUCAUCAACUCAUAAUAUAACUGUCAUCGAAACCUUAAGCGUGCGGACCCUACGGGUUCGAGAACAAUGUAGACAUGACCGAGACACGUCUCCGGUCAAUAACCAAUAGCGGAACCUGGAUGCCCAUAUUGGCUCCUACAUAUUCUAUGAAGAUCUUUAUCGGUCAGACCGCAUAACAACAUACGUUGUUCCUUUUGUCAUCGGUAUGUUACUUGCCCGAGAUUCGAUCGUCGGUAUCUCAAUACCUAGUUCAAUCUCAUUACCGGCAAGUCUGUUUACUCGUUCCGUAAUACAUCAUCUCACAACUAACUCAUUAGUUGCAAUUCUUGCAAGGAUUAUGUGAUGUGCAUUACCGAGAGGGCCCAGAGAUACCUCUUCAACAAUCGGAGUGACAAAUCCUAAUCUCGAAAUACGCCAACCUAACAUGUACCUUUGGAGAUACCUGUAGAGCUCCUUUAUAAUCACCCAGUUAUGUUGUGACGUUUGGUGGCACACAAAGUGUUCCUCCGGUAAACGGGAGUUGCAUAAUCUCAUAGUCAUAGGAACAUGUAUAAGUCAUGAAGAAAGCAAUAGCAACAUACUAAAUGAUCAAGUGCUAUGCUAACAGAAUGGGUCAAGUCAAUCACAUCAUUCUCCUAAUGAUGUGAUCCCGUUAAUCAAAUGACAACUCAUGUUUAUGGUUAGGAAACAUAACCAUCUUUCAUCAACGAGCUAGUCAAGUAGAGGCAUACUAGUGACACUAUGUUUGUCUAUGUAUUCACACAUGUAUUAUGUUUCCGGUUAAUACAAUUCUAGCAUGAAUAAUAAACAUUUAUCAUGAUAUAAGGAAAUAAAUAAUAACUUUAUUAUUGCCUCUAGGGCAUAUUUCCUUCAAUGUCAACAAUAGUAGUUCAUGAAAACUCACGUCCAAUUAGCCAUAUAUACCGGGAUCUUUCCAACAUACUGUGCUUGCCAAAGGAUAAAAUGUAAAAAGGAAGGGUGAAGAUCACCAUGACUCUUAUGCAAGGUAGGAGAUAAAAGUAAAAGAUAGGCCCUUCGCAGAGGGAAGCAGAGGUUGUCAUGCGCUUUUAUGGUUGGAUGCACAAAAUCUUAAUGCUAAAGAACGUCACUUUAUAUUGCCACUUGUGAUAUGGAUCUUUAUUAUGCAGUCUGUCGCUUUUAUUUCUUCCAUAUCACACGAUCUUAUAAAGCUUAUUUUCUCCCACACUAAUAAGUCAUACAUAUUUAGAGAGAAAGUUUUCUUGCUUGCACCGAUGACAACUUACUUGGAGGAUCUUACUUAAUCCAUAGGUAGGUAUGGUGGACUCUCAUGGCAAAACUGGUUUAAGGGUAUUUGGAAGCACAAGUAGUAUCUCUACUUGGUGCGAUGAAUUUGGCUAGCAUGAGGGGAAAGGCAAGCUCAACCAUGUUGGAUGAUCCAUGACAAUAUAAUUUAUCUCAGAUGUAAGAAAACAUAACCCAUUAUGUUGUCUUCCUUGUCCAACGUCAACUCUUUAGCAUGUCAUAUUUUAAUGAGUGCUCACAAUCAUAAAAGAUGUCCAAGAUAGUGUAUUUAUAUGUGAAUACCUCUAUUUCUUUAUUACUUCCUAUUAAUUGCAACGAUGACCAAAUCUAUGUUUGUCAACUCUCAACAACUUUUAUUCAUCAUACUUUUUCUAUGUGAGCUCAUUACUCUCCGUAAGAUCCAUAUGAUCUCUUUUAUUUCUUUCUAUUCUUUCUCUUUUCUUUUAUUCACUCAAGAUCAUGGCAAAAUACUCAAGCCCUUGACUCAACACUAAUCUUUAUUAUAUAUAUAGCUCACGGACUCGAUUACAUAGAAGGAUCAUAAAGCAAAACUCACAACUAGAUCAUACUAAAAAGCUUUAUGCUACUAGAUCAAAAUAUUAUCAAAAGGAUCGAACUAAGAAAAACGGUAAGAUAAAAGUGAUGGUGAUACGAUACCGGGGGACUCCCCCAAGCUUGGCAGUUGCCAAGGGGAGUGCCCAUACCAAAUACUCAAUUCUUCUUUUGUUGGUGAAGAAGGUGGAGUUGUUGAUGAUGGAUAGUCGCACAUCGAGCGUAGGAGGUCUUCUAACUUGCGGAUAAUGCCUUUGAGUGUGAUGAUAUGCUCCUUCAACAAAAUAUUUUCACGUGUGAGAUACUUAUUUUGUAUACGAGCUAACUCAAUCAUCUUGAAAGCUUCGAUCUCAGUUGGGGUAAGAAGAUUGCGAUCAAGUUGAAGGAUGUCUUCUGUGGCCAGAACUUGGUCCUCCGUGGCCUUCUUGAUCCUUUCAUCAUUGUUGAUCUCCAUGGGUUCUUCUCUCUUCAGCUCUAUGUUCAUUAGCCAAGCAUCAUUGCCCUCAUGGUUGGAGGAGGAGGGAGAUGACAUAAUGCCUGGCCUUGAUAACCCUGACAAAAAAUAGCUCGAAACAAAGACAAGAGAUAUUUGCGUGAUACGGGAGUCAAAACCCCUGGGGGAUUAUAUAAUGAAUUUUUACCGACCAAAUUACAUAACGUGUAAGAAAACGGAGUCCGAAGAGCACACGAGGUGCCCACAAGGUAGGGGGCGCGCCCAGUAGGGUAGGGCGCGCCCUCCACCCUCGUGUCCUUCCCGGACUGCUUCUUAUUUUUCUAUUUUUCUAAAUAUUCCAAAACGGAGAAAUAUUGCCUUAAAAACUGUUUUGGAGUUGGUUUACUUACCGUACCACAUACCUAUUCCUUUUCGGAGUCUGAAAUGUUCUGGAAAGUGUCCCUUAUGUAUUCCUCCGGGGUUACGAUUUCAAUAACAUUGGUUUCAACAUUUAUGGGAUUAACUGAGAUAUAAUGUUUGAUUCUUUGACCGUUCACCACCUUCGGAUUUGUGCCUUCGAAGUUGUUAAUUUUUAUGGCACCGGAACAAUAGACCUCCUCGAUAAUGUAAGGACCUUCCCAUUUAGAGAGAAGUUUUCCUGCAAAAAAUCUUAAACGGGAGUUGUAUAGCAAUACAUAAUCACCUACAUUAAACUCACGCUUUUGUAUCCUUUUAUCAUGCCAUCUUUUAACUUUUUCUUUAAACAACUUGGCAUUUUCGUAGGCUUGGGUUCUCCAUUCACCGAGUGAGCUAAUAUCAAAUAACCUCUUCUCACCGACAAGUUUAAAAUCAUAAUUGAGCUCUUUAAUAGCCCAAUAUGCCUUGUGUUCUAGUUCGAGAGGUAAGUGGCAUGCUUUUCCAUAAACCAUUUUAUACGGAGACAUACCCAUAGGGUUUUUAUAUGCAGUUCUAUAGGCCCAUAAUGCAUCAUCAAGUUCCUUGGACCAAUUCUUUCUAGACCUAUUGACAGUCUUCUGCAAAAUUAAUUUGAGCUCUCUAUUACUCAAUUCUACUUGACCACUAGACUGUGGGUGAUAAGGGGAUGCAAUUCUAUGAUUAACAUCAUACUUAGCAAGCAUUUUACAGAAAGCACCAUGAAUAAAAUGUGAACCACCAUCAGUCAUUAAAUAUCUAGGGACUCCAAAUCUUGGAAAAAUAACUUCUUUAAGCAUUUUAAUAGAAGUGUUAUGAUCAACACUACUAGUUGGAAUAGCUUCUACCCACUUAGUAACGUAAUCAACAUCAACUAAAAUAUGUGUAUAACCAUUAGAGGCAGGAAAAGGUCCCAUAUAGUCAAAGCCCCAAACAUCAAAUGGUUCAACAACGAGUGAAUAGUUCAUAUGCAUUUCUUGAUGUCUACUAAUAUUACCAAUUCUUUGACAUUCAUCACAAGACAAGACAAACUUACGGGCAUCCUUGAAGAGAGUAGGCCAAUAAAAACCGGAUUGCAAUACCUUGUGUGCAGUUCUAUCUCCAGCAUGGUGUCCCCCAUAAGCCUUAGAGUGACACUUGCGUAGGAUAUGUUCCUGUUCAUGCUCAGGUACACAACAUCUAAUAACACCAUCUACUCCUUCUUUAUAAAGAUGUGGGUGAUACGUCUCCAACGUAUCUAUAAUUUUUGAUUCCUCCAUGCUAUAUUAUCUACUGUUUUGGACUAUAUUGGGCUUUAUUUUCCACUUUUAUAUUAUUUUUGGGACUAAUCUAUUAACCGGAGGCCCAGCCCAGAAUUGCUGUUUUUUGCCUAUUUCAGUGUUUCGAAGAAACAGAAUAUCAAACGGAGUCCAAAUAGAAAAAUCCUUUUUGGAACGUGAUUUUCUUCUUGGAUAAGACCCAGGAGACUUGGACCCUACUCCAAGAAGUACCGGAGGUGGUCACGAGGGUAGGGGGCGCCCCCCCUACAGGGCGCGCCCCCUACCUCAUGGGCCCCUCGGUGCUCCACCGACGUACUCCUUCCUCAUAUAUAUACCCACGUACCCCCAAACGAUCAGAACAAGAGCCAAAAACCUAAUUCCAUCGCCGCAACUUUCUGUAUCCACGAGAUCCCAUCUUGGGGCCUGUUCCGAAGCUCCACCGGAGAGGGCCGUCAUCACGGAGGGCUUCUACAUCAUCAUAGCCCCUCCGAUGAAGUGUGAGUAGUUUACCUCAGACCUUCGGGUCCAUAGUUAGUAGCUAGAUGGCUUCUUCUCUCUUUUUGGAUCUCAAUACAAUGUUCUCCCCCUCUCUUGUGGAGAUCUAUUCGAUGUAAUCUUCUUCUUUUGCGGUGUGUUUGUUGAGAUCGAUGAAUUGUGGGUUUAUGAUCAAGUCUAUCUAUGAACAAUAUUUGAAUCUUCUCUGAAUUCUUUUAUGUAUGAUUGGUUAUCUUUGCAAGCCUCUUCGAAUUAUCUGUUUGAUUUGGCCAACUAGAUUGGUAGUUCUUGCCAUGGGAGAAGUGCUUAGCUUUGGGUUCGAUCUUGCGGUGUUCUUUCCCAGUGACAGAAGGGGCAGCAAGACACGUAUUGUAUCGUUGCCAUCAAGGAUAACAAGAUGGGGUUUAUUUCAUAUUGCAUGAAUUUAUCUCUCUACAUCAUGUCAUCUUGCUUAAAGUGUUACUCUGUUUUUAACUUAAUACUCUAGAUGCAUGCUGGAUAGCGGUCGAUGAGUGGAGUAAUAGUAGUAGAUGCAGAAUCGUUUCGAUCUACUUGUCACGGACGUGAUGCCUAUAUACAUGAUCAUGCCUAGAUAUUCUCAUAACUAUGCUCAAUUCUGUCAAUUGCUCAACAGUAAUUUGUUCACCCACCGUAGAAAACUUAUGCUCUCGAGAGAAGCCACUAGUGAAACCUAUGGCCCCCGGGUCUAUUCUCAUCAUAUCAAUCUCCAUCACUUUAAUCUUGUUUUGUUUUUAAUUUGCCUUUUACUUUUCACUUUGCAUAUUUAUAUCAAAAAUACCAAAAAUAGUAUCUAUCGGAUCUCACUUCCAUAAGUGACUGUGAAGGGAUUGACAACCCCUAAUCGCGUUGGUUGCGUUGAGCUCUUUGUGUUGUGUAGGUACGAGGGACUUGCGCGUGGCCUCCUACUGGAUUGAUACCUUGGUUCUCAAAAACUGAGGGAAAUACUUACGCUACUCUGCUGCAUCAUCCCUUCCUCUUCGGGGAAAACCAACGCAAGCUCAAGACGUAGCAAGAAGGAUUUCUGGCGCCGUUGCCGGGGAGUCUACGCAAAAAGUCAACAUACUAAGUACCCAUCACAAUCCCUAUCUCCCACAUUACAUUAUUUGCCAUUUGCCUCUCGUUUUCCUCCCCCCAAUUCACCCUUGCCGUUUUAUUCGCCCUUUCUCUCCCUAUCCUCCCUCUCUAUUUGCCUCUUUUUGCCCAUUUGGUUUUGUUUGCUCGUGUGUUAGAUUGCUUGUUUGUCGCGAUGGCUCAAGAUACUACCAAAUUGUGUGACUUCACCAAUACCAACAAUAAUGAUUUUCUUAGCUUGCCCCUCUUGCCAAUACUGAAUCUUGUGAAAUCAAUACUGCUUUGUUGAAUCUUGUUAUGAAAGAUCAAUUCACUGGCCUUCCUAGUGAAGAUGCCGCUACUCAUCUGAAUAGCUUCGUUGAUUUAUGUGAUAUGCAAAAUAAAAAAGAUGUCGAUAAUGAUGUCGUUAAAUUGAAGCUAUUUCCUUUUUCGCUUAGAGAUCGUGCUAAAGCUUGGUUUUCGUCUUUGCCUAAAAAUAGUAUUGAUUCUUGGAACAAGUGCAAAGAUGCUUUUAUCUCUAAGUAUUUUCCUCCCGCUAAGAUCAUCUCUCUUAGAAACGCUAUUAUGAAUUUUAAGCAACUUGAUCAUGAACAUGUUGCACAAGCUUGGGAGAGAAUGAAAUUAAUGAUACGUAAUUGCCCUACUCAUGGUUUAAAUUUGUGGAUGAUUAUACAAAUUUUUUAUGCCGGAUUGAAUUUUGCUUCUAGAAAUCUUUUAGAUUCGGCCGCGGGAGGCACUUUUAUGGAAAUCACUUUAGGAGGUGCUACUAAACCCCUAGAUAAUAUUAUGGUUAAUUAUUCUCAAUGGCAUACUGAAAGAUCUUCUAAUAAAAAAGUGCAUGCGAUAGAAGAAAUCAAUGUUUUGAGUGGAAAGAUGGAUGAACUUAUGAAAUUAUUUGCUACUAAGAGUGUUUCUUAUGAUCCUAAUGAUAUGCCUUUGUCUACCUUGAUUGAGAAUAACAAUGAAUCUAUGGAUGUGAAUUUUGUUGGUAGGAAUAAUUUUGGUAACAACGCUUAUAGAGGGAAUUUUAAUCCUAGGCUUUAUCCUAGUAAUCCUUCUAAUAAUUAUGGGAAUUCCUACAACAACUCUUAUGGAAAUUAUAAUAAGAUGCCCUCUGAUUUUGAAUCUAAUAUUAAAGAAUUUAUUUCUUCGCAAAAGAAUUUUAAUGCUAUGAUUGAAGAAAAAUUGCUUAACAUUGAUGAUUUGGCUAGGAACGUUGAUAGAAUUGCUCUUGAUGUUGAUGCUUUGAAACUUAGAUCUAUUCCACCUAAGCAUGAUAUUAAUGAGUCUCUAAAAGCCAUGAGAAUUUCAAUUGAUGAGUGUAAAGAAAGAACUGCUAGGAUGCGUGCUUCCAAAGAUGCCUUUUUAAAGCGUGUUCUUCUAAUUCUUAUGAAAAUAGAGAUGAAGAUCUAAAAGUUAUUGAUGUGUCCCCUAUCAAAUCUUUGUUUUGCAAUAUGAAUCUUGAUGAAACUGAAUAUGAUCUUCCUUUACCUAGAAGGCGUUCCAAAAAUUCGGAGUAUUUAGAUCUUUAUGAUGAAAUUGAUGAAAGUGGGAUUGAAAGAAAUAAAAAUCUAGAUGUUGCUAAACCCACUAUAUUGGAUUUCAAGGAAUUUAAUUAUGAAAGUUUCUCUUUGAUUGAUUGUAUUUCUUUGUUGCAAUCCGUGUUAAAUUCUCCGCAUGCUUAUAGUCAAAAGAAAGCCUUCACCGAACAUAUUGUUGAUGCCUUGAUGCAAUCUUAUGAAGAAAAAGUUGAGUUGAAAGUCUCUAUCCCUAGAAAACUCUAUGAUGAGUGGGAACCAACUAUCAAAAUUAAAAUUAAAGAUCAUGAGUUUUAUGCUUUGUGUGAUUUGGGUGCUAGUGUCUCCACUAUCCCCAAAACUUUGUGUGCUUUGCUAGAUUUCCGCGAUCUUGAUGAUUGCCCUCUAAACUUGCAUCUUGCGGAUUCCACUAUUAAGAAACCUAUGGGAAGAAUUAAUGAUGUUCUUAUUGUUGCAAAUAGGAAUUAUGUGCCUGUAGAUUUCAUUGUUCUUGAUAUAGAUUGCAAUCCUUCUUGCCCUAUUAUUCUUGGUAGACCUUUCCUUAGAACGGUUGGUGCGAUUAUUGAUAUGAAGGAAGGGAAUAUUAGAUUCCAAUUUCCAUUAAAAAAGGGCAUGAAACACUUUCCAAGAAAGAAAAUAAAAUUGCCAUAUGAAACCAUCAUGAGAGCCACUUAUGGAUUGCCUUCCAAAGAUGGCAAUACCUAGAUCUAUCCUCGCUUUUAUGCCUAGCUAGGGGCGUUAAACGAUAGCGCUUGUUGGGAGGCAACCCAAUUUUAUUUUUUGUUUUUUGUGUUUUUCUUCUGUUAGGUAAUAAAUAACCCAUCUACCCUCUGUUUGGAUGUGGUUUUGUGUUUUAAUUAGUGUUUGUGCCAAGCUAGACCUAUUGGAUCUUCUUGGAUGAUAGUUAUUUGAUCUUGCUGUAAUUUCCAGAAACUUUGCGUUCAGUGCCCGAAUUACUAAAAAUCAUCAGAAAGUGAUAAAAUACUGAUUCCAAUUGCUACUGAUCAAUAAACAAAUUAUAUAGGUCGUCUAAUUUUGGUAGACGUUUUGGAGUUCCAAAAGUUUGCGUUAGUUACAGAUUACUACAGACUGUUCUGUUUUUGACAGAUUCUGUUUUUCGUGUGUUGUUUGCUUAUUUUGAUGAAUCUAUGGUUAGUAAAAUAGUUUAUAAUCCAUAGAGAAGUUGGAAUACAGUAGGUUUAACACCAAAAUAAAUAAAGAAUGAGUUCAUUACAGUACCUUGGAGUGGUUUUAUGUUUUCUUUCUCUAACGGAGCUCACGAGAUUUCUAUUGAGUUUUGUGUUGUGAAGUUUUCAAGUUUUGGGUGAGUUCUUUUGAUGGAUUAUGGAACAAGGAGUGGCAAGAGACUAAGCUUGGGGAUGCCCAUGGCACCCUCAAGAUAAUCCAAGGACACCAAAAAGUCAAAGCUUGGGGAUGCCCCAGAAGGCAUCCCCUCUUUCGUCCAUUUCCAUCGGUAAUUUACUUGGAGCUAUAUUUUUAUUCACCAACAUGAUAUGUGUUUUGCUUGGAGCGUCUUGUAUUAUUUGUGUCUUUGUUUGUUAGUAUGCUACAAUCAUCCUUGCUGUACACACCUUUUGAGAGAGUCAUCUAUGAAUUGAAAUUUGAUAGAACACUCUAUGUGCUUCACUUAUAUCUUUUGAGCUAUGUAGUCUUGCUCUACGUGCUUCACUUAUAUCUUUUGAGCGUUAUAAUUUUGCUCUAUGUGCUUCACUUAGAUCUUUUAGAGCACGGUGGUGGUUUGUUUUAAAUAAACUAUUGAUCUCUCAUGCCUCACUUAAAUUAUUUUGAGUCUUAAUAGCAUGGUAAUUUGCUUAAUAUAAAUAUGCUUGGUGUUCAAGAUAUGUGAAAUUUUCUUUUGAAGUGCGUUGAAUACUAAGAGAAGAUUGAAGCAUGAUAAUUGUUUUGAGAUAUGGAGGUGAUAAUAUUAGAGUUAUGCGAGUUUAGUAGUUGUGAAUUUAAAGAAUACUUGUGUUAAAGUUUGUGAUUCCCGUAGCAUGCACGUAUGGUGAACCGUUAUGUGAUGAAGUCGGAGCAUAAUUUAUUUAUUGAUUGUCUUUCUUAUGAGUGACGGUCGGGGACGGGCGAUGGUCUUUUCCUACCAAUCUAUCCCCCUAGGAGCAUGCGCGUAAUACUUUGCUUUGAUAACUUCUAGAUUUUUGCAAUAAGUAUAUGAGUUCUUUAUGACUAAUGUUGAGUCCAUGGAUUAUAUGCACUUUUUCCCAUCCUUCCACAAUUGCUAGCCUCUCUAAUACCACACACCUUUCGCUGGUAUCAUACACCCACCAUAUACCUUCCUCAAAACAGCCACUAUACCUACCUAUCAUGGCAUUUCCAUAGCCAUUCCGAGAUAUAUUGCCAUGCAACUUUCCACCUUUCUGUUUAUUAUGACACGCUCCAUCAUUGUCAUAUUGCUAGCAUGAUCAUGUAGUUGACAUCGUAUUUGUGGCAAAGCCACCAUUCAUAAUUCUUUCAUACAUGUCACUCUUGAUUCAUUGCAUAUCCCGGUACACCGCUGGAGGCAUUCAUAUAGAGUCAUAUUUGUUCUAAGUAUCGAGUUGUAAUUGUUGAGUUGUAAGAAAAAUAAAAGUGUGAUGAUCAUCAUUUUCUAGAGCAUUGUCCCAAGUGAGGAAAGGAUGAUGGAGACUAUGAUUCCCCCAUAAGUUGGGAUGAGACUCCGGACAAAAAAAUAGGCCAUAAAAAAAGAGAAAAGGCCCAAAUAAAAAAAUGAGAGAAAAAAGAGAGAAGGGACAAUGUUACUAUCCUUUUACCACACUUGUGCUUCAAAGUAGCACCAUGAUCUUCAUGAUAGAGAUUCUCUCGUUAUGUCACUUUCAUAUACUAGUGGGAAUUUUUCAUUAUAGAACUUGGCUUGUAUAUUCCAAUGAUGGGCUUCCUCAAAUUGCCCUAGGUCUUCGUGAGCAAGCGAGUUGGAUGCACACCCACUUAGUUUCUUUUGAUGAGCUUUCAUAUACUUAUAGCUCUAGUGCAUCCGUUGCAUGGCAAUUCCUACUCACUCACAUUGAUAUCUAUUGAUGGGCAUCUCCAUAGCCCGUUGAUACAAUUAGUUGAUGUGAGACUAUCUUCCCCUCUUUUUGUCUUCUCCACAACCACCCUUCUAUUCCACAUAGUGCUAUGUCCAUGGCUCACGCUCAUGUAUUGCGUGAAGAUUGAAAAAGUUUUGAAAAAGUUAGAGUAUGAAACAAUUGCUUGGCUUGUCAUCGGGGUUGUGCAUGAUUUAAAUACUUUGUGUGGUGAAGAUAGAGCAUAGCCAGACUAUAUGAUUUUGUAGGGAUAACUUUCUUUGGCCAUGUUAUUUUGAGAAGACAUAAUUACUUUAUUAGUAUGCUUGAAGUGUUAUUAUUCUUUAUGUCAAUAUGAACUUUUGUCUUGAAUCUUUCUAAUCUGAAUAUCCAUACCACAAUUAAGAAAUUUUGCAUUGAAAUUAUGCCAAGUAGCACUCCGCAUCAAAAAUUCUCUUUUAUCAUGUACCUACUCGAGGACGAGCAGGAAUUAAGCUUGGGGAUGCCUGAUACGUCUCCAACGGAUCUAUAAUUUUUGAUUGCUCAAUGCUAUAUUAUCUACUGUUUUGGACUAUAUUGGGCUUUAUUUUCCACUUUUAUAUUAUUUUUGGGACUAAUCUAUUAAUCGGAGGCCCAACCCAGAAUUGCUAUUUUUUUGCCUAUUCCAGUGUUUCAAAGAAACAGAAUAUCAAACGGAUUCCAAACAGAAAAAUCCUUUUUGGAACGUGAUUUCUUCUCGGAUAAGACCCAGGAGACUUGGACCCUACUCCAAGAAGUACCGGAGGCGUUCACGAGGGUAGGGGGCGCGCCCCCCCUACAGGGUGCGCCCCCUGCCUCGUGGGCCCCUCGGUGCUCCACCGACGUACUCCUUCCUCCUAUAUAUACCCACGUACCCCCAAAGGAUCAGAACAGGAGCCAAAAACCUAAUUCCACCGCCGCAACUUUCUGUAUCCACGAGAUCCCAUCUUGGGGCCUGUUUCGGAGCUCCGCCGGAGAGGGCCGUCAUCACGGAGGGCUUCUACAUCAUCAUAGCCCCUUCGAUGAAGUGUGAGUAGUUUACCUCAGACCUUCGGGUCCAUAGUUAGUAGCUAGAUGGCUUCUUCUCUCUUUUUGGAUCUCAAUACAAUGUUCUCCCCCUCUCUUGUGGAGAUCUAUUCGAUGUAAUCUUCUUCUAUUGCGGUGUGUUUGUUGAGACCGAUGAAUUGUGGGUUUAUGAUCAAGUCUAUCUAUGAACAAUAUUUGAAUCUUCUCUGAAUUAUUUUAUGUAUGAUUGGUUAUCUUUGCAAGUCUCUUCGAAUUAUCCGUUUGGUUUGGCCAACUAGAUUGGUAGUUCUUGCCAUGGGAGAAGUGCUUAGCUUUGGGUUCGAUCUUGUGAUGUUCUUUCCCAGUGACAGAAGGGGCAGCAAGACAUGUAUUGUAUCGUUGCCAUCGAGGAUAACAAGAUGGGGUUUAUUUCAUAUUGCAUGAAUUUUUCUCUCUACAUCAUGUCAUCUUGCUUAAAGCGUUACUCUGUUUUUAACUUAAUACUCUAGAUGCAUGCUGGAUAGCGGUCCAUGAGUGGAGUAAUAGUAGUAGAUGCAGAAUCGUUUCGAUCUACUUGUCACGGACAUGAUGCCUAUAUACAUGAUCAUGCCUAGAUAUUCUCAUAACUAUGCUCAAUUCUGUCAAUUGCUCAACAAUAAUUUGUUCACCCACCGUAGAAAACUUAUGCUCUCGAGAGAAGCCACUAGUGAAACCUAUGGCCCCCGGGUCUAUUCUCAUCAUAUCAAUCUCCAUCACUUUAAUCUUGUUUUGUUUUUACUUUGCCUUUUACUUUUCACUUUGCAUCUUUAUAUCAAAAAUACCAAAAAUAUUAUCUAUCGGAUCUCACUUCCGUAAGUGAUCGUGAAGGGAUUGACAACCCCUAAUCGCGUUGGUUGCGUUGAGCUCUUUGUGUUGUGUAGGUACGAGGGACUUGCGCGUGGCCUCCUACUGGAUUGAUACCUUGGUUCUCAAAAACUGAGGGAAAUACUUACGCUACUCUGCUGCAUCAUCCCUUCCUCUUCGGGGAAAACCAACGCAAGCUCAAGACAUAGCAGUGGGUCAUCCCAAAAGUAAUGCCUCAAAUCAUAGAAGAACUUUUUCUUUUGCUAGUAUAUGAAACUAGGUGGUAUGAAUUUGGCAACGAUGUAAUUAGCAUAAUCAGCAUACCAUGGAGCAGUAUGAGAAGCAUUUAUGACAUUUAAUUGCUCAUCAGGAAAGCUAUCAUCAAUAGGUAGUGGGUCAUUAAGCACAUUUUCUAACCUAGACAAGUUGUCUGCAAUGGGGUUCUCAGCUCCCUUUCUAUCAACAAUAUGUAAGUCAAAUUCUUGUAGCAAGAGAACCCAUCUAAUAAGUCUAGGUUUAGCAUCUUUCUUUUCCAUAAGAUAUUUAAUAGCAGCAUGAUCAGUGUGAAUAGUUACUUUAGAAUCAACAAUAUAAGGUCUGAACUUAUCACAAGGAAAUACAACUGCUAAGAAUUCUUUUUCAGUAGUAGCAUAAUUUCUUUGAGCAUUAUCUAGGGUUUUACUAGCAUAUUGAAUAACAUUUAAUUUCUUAUCAACUCUUUGCCCUAGAACAGCACCUACAACAUAAUCACUAGCAUCACACAUAAUUUCAAAGGGUAAAUUCCAAUCAGGUGGCUGAACAAUAGGUGCAGAGAUAAAUGCUUUCUUAAGUAUUUCAAAUGCUUCUACACAAUCAUCAUCAAAGACAAAUGGUAUAUCUUUUUGUAAUAAAUUAGUCAGAGGCCGAGAAAUUUUUGAGAAGUCCUUAAUGAACCUCCUAUAAAAUCUGGCGUGACCAAGGAAACUUCUUAUACCUUUGAUGUCCUUGGGGCAUGGCAUCUUUUCAAUAGCAUCAAAUUUGGCUUUAUCAACUUCAAUACCUCUUUCAGAAACUUUAUGCCCCAAGACAAUACCUUCAUUAACCAUAAAGUGACACUUUUCCCAAUUCAGGACAAGAUUAGUUUCUUCACAUCUCUGCAGAACUCGAUCAAGGUUGCUCAAGCAAUCAUCAAAAGAAGAUCCAUAGACGGAAAAAUCGUCCAUGAAAACCUCACAAAUCUUUUCACAAAAGUCAGAGAAUAUAGCCAUCAUGCAUCUUUGAAAGGUAGCAGGUGCAUUACAUAAACCAAAAGGCAUAUGUCUAUAAGCAAAAGUACCAAAAGGGUAGGUAAAAGUAGUCUUCGAUUGAUCCUUGGCUGACACAGGUAUUUGAAAGAAACCAGAAUAACCAUCUAGAAAGCAAAAGUGUGUAUGUUUGGAUAAUCUUUCUAGCAUUUGAUCGAUAAAAGGUAAGGGGUAAUGAUCCUUUUUAGUGGCCUUAUUUAAUUUGCGGAAAUCAAUUACCAUCCUAUAACCUGUAAUAAUUCUUUGAGGAUUCAAUUCAUCUUUAUCAUUAGGAACGACAGUAAUACCUCUCUUCUUAGGGACACAAUGGAUGGGACUUACCCACUGACUAUCAGCAAUGGGAUAGAUUAUACCUGCCUCAAGGAGCUUGAGUAUUUCCUUUCUUACCACUUCUUUCAUUUUAGGAUUCAGUCGUCGUUGAUGAUCACGAACUGGUUUAGCAUCUUCUUCCAAAUUUAUUUUAUGUUGACAUAGAGUGGGACUAAUGCCCUUAAGAUCAUCAAGAGUAUACCCAAUAGCAGCAUGGUUCUUCUUCAGAGUUUUCAAUAAUCUCUCUUCCUCAUGCUCUGAAAGGUUAGCACUAAUAAUAACAGGAUAUAUCUUUUUCUCAUCAAGAUAAGAAUAUUUAAGAGUAUCAGGCAACGGUUUAAGCUCAAACACGGGAUCACCCUUGGGUGCAGGAGGAUCCCCUAGGAUUUCAACAGGCAAAUUGUGUUUCAGAAUAGGUUCCUGUUUAAAGAAUACUUCAUCUAUUUACCUUCUUUCAUUCAUAAACAUAUCAUUUUCAUGGUCUAGCAAAUAUUGUUCUAAAGGAUCACUAGGAGGUACGACAAUAGAAGCAAGACCAAUAAUUUCAUCCUUACUAGGUAAUUCUUCUUCACGAUGUUGUCUACUAAAUUUAGAGAAAUUAAAUUCAUGAGACAUAUCAUCUAAACCGAUAGUAACAACAUCCUUUUUAUAAUCUAUCUUAGCAUUAACAGUGUUCAAGAAGGGUCUACCAAAUAUAAUGGGACAAAACCUAUCUUGUGGGGAACCAAGAACAAGAAAAUCAGUAGGAUAUUUAGUUUUCCCACACAAGACUUCAACAUCUCUAACAAUUCACAUUGGUGAAAUAGUAUCUCUAUUGGCAAGUUUAAUUGUGACAUCAAUAUCUUCCAUCUCAGUAGGUGCAAUAUCAUUCAUAAUUUCUUUGUAUAAGUCGUAAGGUAUUGCACUAGCACUAGCACCCAUAUCACAUAAGACAUGAUAACAAUGAUCUCCUAUUUUAACAGAAAUAACAGACAUGCUUACCACAGGUCUGUUUUUAUCUUUAGCACAAGGUUUAGCAAUUCUAGCAGUCUCAUCAAGGAAAUGAAUAACAUGCCCAUCAAUAUUACCAGACAAGAGAUCUUUAACAAUAGCAAUAUCAGGUUCAACUUUAAUUUGCUCAGAAGGUGUAUAAGUUUAAAUAUUGCUUUUACGAACCACAGUUGAAGCUUUAGCAUAUCCUUUAUCCUAAUAGGGAAAGGUGGUUUCACAACAUAAGAAGUAGGAACAAUAGGAUCAUUAUAAAUGAUAGUCUUUUCUUGAACUUUAAUAGGUGCAGCUACUUUUACUUCUAUGGGAGGAUGAUAUUUAAACACUUCUCCUUGGGGAGAUCAACAUAAGUGGCAAAAGAUUCAUAGAAAGAGGCUACUAUCUCAGAGUCAAGUCCAUAUUUAGUGCUAAAUUUACGGAAAACAUCGGUAUCCAUAAAAGAUUUAACACAAUCAAACUUAGGUGUCAUACCUGACUCCUUACCUUCAUCGAGGUCCCAAUCUUCAUAGUUGCAUUUAAUUCUUUCCAAUAAAUCCCAUCUGAAUUCAAUAGUCUUCGUCAUAAAAGAGCCAACACAAGAAGUAUCGAGCAUGGUGCGAUUGUUAUCAGAAAGCCGAGCAUAUAAAUUUUGAAUAAUCAUCUCUCUUGAGAGCUCAUGAUUGGGGCAUGAAUAUAACAUUGAUUUAAGCCUCCCCCAAGCUUGAGCGACGCUUUAUCCUUCGCGAGGCCAAAAAUUAUAUAUAUAAUUAUGAUCACGAUGAACAAGAUGCAUAGGAUAAAACUUCUCAUGAAAUUCCAAUUUCAAUCGUUUGUAGUUCCAUGACCCUGUAUCAUCACAUAGCCUAUACCAUGUCAAUGCAUCUUCCUUCAAAGAUAAAGGGAAGACCUUCUUCUUAACAACAUCUCUGGGUACACCUGCAAGCUUAAAUAAUCCACAAACUUCAUCCACAUAUAUUAGGUGCUCAUCAGGAUGAAUUGUUCCAUCUCUUGUAAAAGGAUUAGCUAGCAGUUUUUCUAUCAUACCCGAAGGAAUCUCAAAGUAGACAUUUUCAUUUUCAGUAGGUUCAGUAGGUUGAAGAGCAACUCUUUGCUCUACUGGUCCGGGUGAAGAUACCCCAAACAAGCCCCUCAGAGGAUUACUUUCCAUAGUAACAAGUGACAGUAAAUUUCAACACACUAUAUAAAUUUUGCUUACCAAAUUCCACCUACCAAAGGCGCUUCACUCCCCGGCAACGAUGCCAGAAAAGAGUCUUGAUGACCCACAAGUAUAGGGGAUCUAUCGUAGUCCUUUUGAUAAGUAAGAGUGUCGAACCCAACGAGGAGCAGAAGGAAAUGAUAAGCGGUUUCCAGCAAGGUAUUCUAUGCAAGUACUUAAAUAAGUGGUAACAGAUAGUUUUGUGAUAGGAUAAUUUGUAACGAGCAACAAAUAAUAAAAGUAAAUAAAGUGCAGCAAGGUGGCCCAAUCCUUUUUGUAGCAAAGGACAAGCCUGGACAAACUCUUAUAUAGAGAAAAGCGCUCCCAAGGACACAUGGGAAUAUCGUCAAGCUAGUUUUCAUCAUGUUCAUAUGAUUCGUGUUCAGUACUUUGAUAAUUUGGUAUGUGGGUGGACCGGUGCUUGAGUACUGUCCUUACUUGGACAAGCAUCCCACUUAUGAUUAACCUCCAUUGCAAGCAUCCGCAAAUACAACAAAAGUAUUAAGGUAAACCUAACCAUAGCAUGAAACAUAUGGAUCCAAAUCAGCCCCUUACGAAGCAAUGCAUAAACUAGGGUUUAAGCUUCUGUCACUCUAGCAACCCAUCAUCUACUUAUUACUUCCCAAUGCCUUCCUCUAGGCCCAAAUAAUGGUGAAGUGUUAUGUAGUCGACGUUCACAUAACACCACUAGAGGAGAGACAACAUACAUCUCAUCAAAAUAUCGAACGAAUACCAAAUUCACAUGACUACUAAUAGCAAGACUUCUCCCAUGUCCUCAGGAACAAACGUAACUACUCACAAAGCAUAUUCAUGUUCAUAAUCAGAGGGGUAUUAAUAUGUAUAUAGGGUCUGAACAUAUGAUCUUCCACCAAAUAAACCAACUAGCAUCAACUACAAGGAGUAAUUAACACUACUAGCAACCUACUAGUACCAAUCCCAGACUUGGAGACAAGAAUUGGAUACAUGAUACGUCUCCGUCGUAUCUACUUUUCCAAACACUUUUGCCCUUGUUUUGGACUCUAACUUGUAUGAUUUGAAUGGAACUAACCCGGACUGACGCUGUUUUCAGCAGAAUUGCCAUGGUGUUGUUUUAUGUGCAGAAAACAAAGUUCUCGGAAUGACCCGAAACUCCACGGAAUAUCUUAGAAUAAAUAAUAAAAAAUUCUCGCCAAAGAUGAAGACCAGGGGGCCCACACCCUAUCCACGAGGGUGGGGGCGCGCCCCCUACCUCGUGGGCCCCCUCGUGGCCCUCCGACGCCAACUCCAACUCCAUAUAUUGGCUUUCAAGGAGAAAAAAAUCAGAGAGAAAGUUUCAUCGCGUUUUACGAUACGAAGCCGCCGCCAAGCCCUAAUCUCUCUCGGGAGGGCUGAUCUGGAGUCCGUUCGGGGCUUCGGAGAGGGGGAUUUGUCGCCGUCGUCAUCAUCAACCAUCCUCCAUCACCAAUUUCAUGAUGCUCACCGCUGUGCGUGAGUAAUUGCAUCGUAGGCUUGCUGGAUGGUGAUGGGUUGGAUGAGAUUUAUCAUGUAAUUUUGUUAGUUUUGUUAGGGUUUGAUCCCUAGUAUCCACUAUGUUCUGAGAUUGAUGUUGCUAUGACUUUGCUAUGCUUAAUGCUUGUCAAUAGGGCCCGAGUGCCAUGAUUUCAGAUCUGAACCUAUUAUGUUUUCAUGAAUAUAUGUGAGUUCUAGAUCCUAUCUUGCAAGUCUAUAGUCACCUACUAUGUGUUAUGAUCCAGCAACCCCGAAGUGACAAUAAUCGAGACCACUCCCGGUGAUGACCAUAGUUUGAGGAGUUCAUGUAUUCACUAUGUGUUAAUGCUUUGUUCCGGUUCUCUAUUAAAAGGAGGCCUUAAUAUCCCUUAGUUUUCAUUAGGACCGCGCUGCCACGGGAGGGUAGGGCAAAAGAUGUCAUGCAAGUUCUUUUCCAUAAGCACGUAUGACUAUUUACGGAAUACAUGCCUACAUUAUAUUGAUGAACUGGAGCUAGUUCUGUGUCACCCUAUGUUAUGGCUGUUACAUGAUGAACCACAUCCGGCAUAAUUAUCCAUCAUUGAUCCGGUGCCUACGAGUUUUCCAUAUACUGGUUUACGCUUAUUUACUUUUCCGUUGCUACUGUUACAAUCACUACAAAAAUACCAAAAACAUUACUUUUGUUGUCUUUACUUUGUUACCGUUAUCACCACUAUCAUAUUACUUUGCUACUAAACACUUUGCUGAAGAUACUAAGUUUCCAGGUGUGGUUGAAUUGACAACUCAGCUGCUAAUACUUGAGAAUAUUCUUUGGCUCCCAUUGUGUCGAAUCAACAAAUUUGGGUUGAAUACUCUACCCUCGAAAACUGUUGCGAUCCCCUAUACUUGUGGGUUAUCAAGACCUUUUUCUGGCACCGUUGCCGGGGAGCAUAGCUCUAUUCUUUGAGUCACUUGGGAUCUAUAUCUGCUGGACACUAUGAAGAACUUUAAAGACGCUAAGACAAAAAUUUAUCCCUCAACUACGAGGGGAGGUAAGGAACUGCCAUCUAGCUCUGCACUUGAUUCACCUUCUGUUAUGAGUAAGCUAGCGACACCUAAACCUACUACUGCUAUGAAUUCUGAUAUGUCGCAUGUUAUUGAUGAUGCCACUUCCACUAUGCAUGAUACUUAUGAUGAAACUACUUCUAUGCUUGAUACUACUGUGCCACUUGGUGAAUUUCUAGAUGAGCAAAUUUCUAAGUCUAGAGAAAGAGAAAUUAGUGAACCUGAACACGAUGAUGUUAGUGAUGAUGAACCUAUGCCUGUUAUUCCUGAGGGUUAUCUUUUUAAUAAUGAAUCUUAUGAAGCUAUUCUUGCUUGUCCGGAUAAACCUGAACGUAAGAGGUUACUGAUUAAGUGGAGUAAGGAAUCUUUUAGAGGUAGGAUGAGACCCGACCCUGCUUUUGCUACUUCACCUAUCUGUGUUCCUGAUCAGGAUUAUUAUGAUAUUACUGUUGAUCCAGAUAUAAUUACUUUGGUUGAAUCUGAUCCUUUUUAUGGCUAUGAAUCUGAAACUGUUGUGGCACAUCUUCGUAAGUUAGAUGAAAUAGCUGCCCUGUUUACUAAUAAUCUAAGAUCGCGCCACUUUUAUGUACUCAAAAUAUUUCCGUUCUCAUUAAAGGGUGAUGCUAAGAAAUGGUUUAAUUCUCUUGAUCCUGCCUGUGUGCAAAGUCCCCAGGAUAUGAUUUAUUACUUCUCUGCUAAAUAUUUCCCUGCUCAUAAGAAACAAGCUGUUUUGAGGGAAAUAUACAAUUUUGUGCAAAUUGAAGAAGAGAGUCUCCCACAAGCUUGGGGGAGGCUUCUGAAGUUACUUAAUGCUUUGCCUGAUCAUCCUCUUAAGAAACCUGAAAUAUUUGAUAUCUUUUAUAAUGGACUAACUGAUGCUUCCAGAGAUUACCUGGAUAGUUGUGCUGGUUCUCUUUUCAGGGAAAGAACACCGGAUGACGCUGAAAUUUUAUUAAAUAAUAUGUUGGCAAAUGAAAAUAAUUGGGAACCUCCUGAGCCACCUCCCGAGCCAACUCCUAAGCCAGCUCCUGAGCCAAUUACUGAGCCUAUUCCUAAACCAACUCCGAAGAAGAGAGGUGUUCUAUUUCUCAGUCCCGAAGAUAUGCAAGAGGCAAAGAAAUCUAUGAAAGAAAAAGGUAUUAAAGCUGAAGAUGUUAAGAAUUUACCUCCUAUUGAAGAAAUACAUGGUCUUAAUUUACAGCCUGUUGAAGAAGUAUAUGAUCUCAAUUACUUAUUUACUGAAGAACCUCCCGAUAUCCCGACACAUGUAGUAAAGGUAAAUUCUCUCUAUAGAUAUGAUAAAGUUGAAGUCCCUCCUACUAAAAUUGCUAGUCAGUGUUUCGAUGAGUUUGAUGACUUUAUGUUUAAGCAAGAUGACUUUAAUGCUUAUUUUAGUAGACAAUUAAAGUAGAAUACCUUUAUGAUUAAACGCUUGAGUGAUUAUAUGGAUAAUAUUAGAGGUGAACUUAAAUUUGUUAGCAAACAUGCUUCUAUGGUUACCACUCAAGUAGAACAAGUACUUAAAGCUCAGAAAGAAAUGCUUGAUGAAAUGAAUAGUAAGAAAAAUGAUUAUGCUGUUAGAGUGGCUACUAGAACUGGUAGAAUGACUCAAGAACCUUUGUAUCCUGAAGGCCACCCUAAGAGAAUCGAGCAAGAUUCUCAAAAAAAUAAUAUUGAUGCACCUAGUUCUUCUAAAAGGAAGAAAAAGAAAAAUGAUAGAACUGUGCAAACUUCUAGUGAACCUAUUGCUGAACCACCUGAUAAUCCAAAUGAUAUCUCUAUGUCUGAUGCUGAAACACAAUCUGGUAAUGAACAUGAACCUAGUGGAAAUGUUAAUGAUGAUGUUCAUGAUGAUGCUCAACCUAGUAAUGAUAAUGAUGUAGAAGUUGAACCUGCUGUUGAUCUUGAUAACCCACAAUCAAAGAAUCAAUGUUAUGAUAAAAGAGACUUCGUUUCUAGGAAACAUGGUAAAGAAAGAGAACCAUGGGUUCAGAAACCCAUGCCUUUUCCUCCGAAACCAUCCAAGAAAAAAGGAUGAUGAGGAUUUUGAGCGCUUUGCUGAAAUGAUUAGACCUAUCUUUUUGCGUAUGCGAUUGACUGAUGUGCUCAAAACAAAUCCUUAUGCUAAGUAUAUGAAGGAUAUCAUUACUAAUAAAAUAAAUAUACCGGAGGCUGAAAUUUCCACCAUGCUUGCUAAUUACACUUUUAAGGGUGGAAUACCAAAGAAACUUGGAGAUCCAGGAGUACCUACUAUACCAUGCUCCAUUAAAAGAAAUUAUGUUAAAACUGCUUUAUGUGAUCUUGGAGCCGGUGUUAGUGUUAUGCCACUCUCUUUAUAUCGUAGACUUGACUUGAAUAAGUUGACACCUACUGAAAUAUCUUUGCAAAUGGCUGAUAAAUCAACUGCUAUACCUGUCGGUAUUUGUGAGGAUGUACCUGUUGUGGUUGCAAACGUUACUAUUUUAACGGACUUUGUUAUUCUUGAUAUUCCCCAGGAUGAUAGUAUGUCUAUUAUUCUUGGAAGACCUUUCCUUAAUACUGCAGGGGCUGUUAUUGAUUGCAACAAAGGCAAUGUCACUUUUCAUGUUAAUGGUAAUGAGCAUACGGUGCACUUUCCGAGGAAACAACCUCAAGUUUAUAGUGUCAACUCUAUUGGAAAAAUUCCAUCGAUUAUAUUUGGAGGUUUUGAAUUUCCUCUUCCUACUAUCAAAAAGAAAUAUGACAUACUUAUUAUUGGGGAUGUCCAUAUCCCCGUUGAGGUAACAUAGUGUUAUUCGAAAUUUCUCCGGUUCCAUGAUUAUCGGAAUGAGUUUGUUAACAAGACUUGAUCAACCUUGUUAGUGGAUUCUUUUUGAUGAGCAUGAGAUGGAUGAAACUAGAAGCACAACCUUCUGUACCCUCUUUAUAUUUUCUGUUCUUUAGUAGAAAUAAAGUAAAAUAAUAUUUUUCUGUCUGUUUCCUGACUUAUCCGUGCAAUAUAAAAAUAUCCGGAAAAUAAAAGUCCUCAGAAUGCCAUGCCAAUUUAAUAUGAUUUUUUGGGAAUAUUUAAGGAUUUUUAGUGCAAAAAUUACCGCGGGGGGAGCUGCCACCUGGUCACGAGGGUGGAGGGCGUGCCCUACCCCCCUGGGCGCGCCCCCUACCUCGUGGGCCCAUGCUGGCCCUCCUCCACUUAUUCCUGCACCCAUCUUCUUCCUCUGUCUCGCACAAACCCGAAAAACCAACUCAAGCUCGUGUUCCAGCAACUUUUGCUGCGAUUUUCGAUCUCCUUGCUCAAAGCACCUCUCGCAAAACUGCUUGGGGAGAUUGUUCCUUGGUAUGUGACUCCUCCAUUGGUCCAAUUAGUUUUUGUUCUAGUGCUUUAUUCAUUGCAAAUUUGUGCUACAUAGGUGACCAUGUUCUUGAGCUUGCAUGUCAAAUAUAUAUGGUUCCAAGUAGUUCUAAUGCUUGAUAUAUGCUCUAGGCACUUGUAUGAGUAGUUGCUAUUAAUCUUAUUGAAGUUGGUUCACUUUUGUUUGAAGUUACUAAAAAUUUCAGAAUUAUUUUCAGAGAAAACAAUAUGUUUAGGAGGAUGUUCCAAAUUGGUUCUUCAAGGAAGCAAGGUCCCAGACUUGCAAUGCGUGAUGGUGACGAGGAACCACCAAGAGACGCUCUCGUGAGGCCCUGUGAAUGGCCUUCGGAAAAUUUUAUGAAUCAAGUGGGAAUUAAAGAAGAAUUUUACGCAUAUGUGCGUAAUGCCGAUCUUGAGGACUUUGAAGCUGAUAAAUGCCCCCAGUAUCGUUAUCUCGCAAGUUCAUUUGUGGGGAGGUUUGAUUAUUCAUCUUCGCAUAAUUCUCCUUCAGUCAUGUUUGACCUUUAUGACAAGUCUUAUACCAUGGACUUAGAGGAUUUCACUCGUGCAUGCAAACUUCCAUCUUGGGGUAGUAUCAGGGAUCCCCUUAAAUCUGAAUAUAGAGAUUUUCUUGCUAGAAUAACUGUGGGGGAAUCUAGAGAUAUAACACAGGCCACUAUAGGGAGCAUUCACUUUCCUGCUAUACAUUAUUUUGCUCUCUUCAUUGGUAGAUGUAUAACUGCCAAGGAUGAAGCAUGUCACAUGUGUGCCCCUAAUCUCAGCAUUCUCAGAAGUGCUAUGUUAGGGGACCAAGCUUAUCAUAUGGGAGCCAUUGUAGCUCGUAGGUUGCAUCUUAAUAGACGUAACGGAGAUUUCUUUGGAGGAAUUUAUGCAACCCACUUAGCUAAUUUUCUUGAUGUAGGCAUUCGUGAGGGUGAUGUGGAGUUGCCCAGUUCUUAUUUAGAUCUUGAUCCUAUGUUUUCCCACCAGUUCAUUGAGAGGACUGGACCACCUUACCAGUAUCGACUAAUCUUUUACAGAUGACGUGUGGUCCGUGUUGCUCUUCCUGCUCCUACCUUCUUUGAUUUUCAGGCGAGAGGAAGAUAUAUUAUUACCAGAGAGGAGGCAGAUGAGUACGAGAGGGGAGUGGAAGCAGCCCGACUCCGUGCUGCUGCUCAGUAGGCGGUAGCCGCUGCAUCGCAGUACGACCCCAGCUUCACCUACGGAUAUCAGCCAGGUUAUCCCUGGCAAUAGACCAACUUAGGCCAAAAGCCUAAGCUUUGGGGAGUACAUAUUUCAUGUUCACACACACUCAUUGCUAGAUGUCGGUGCUCAUACUCUUUCAUUGUAAUAUCCAUGUUAGUUUAAAUUUAUUUUUCUAGCUUUCUUCUUGUGUGUUUGAUAAACCUUAAGAAAAAAAA
Molecule: long non-coding RNA, 46151 nt
Filed under: Triticum aestivum (bread wheat)
Lineage: Eukaryota; Viridiplantae; Streptophyta; Magnoliopsida; Poales; Poaceae
Description: long non-coding RNA (TAES_LNC004973)
Source: RNAcentral